RNAcentral lists this long non-coding RNA (49292 nucleotides) under Capsicum annuum. Its description in RNAcentral is "long non-coding RNA (CANN_LNC004087)". The record is from RNAcentral. Lineage: Eukaryota; Viridiplantae; Streptophyta; Magnoliopsida; Solanales; Solanaceae.
UCCCUCCUUAUUUGAUGAAAAGAAGAGAGAGCCUCAUUUGAUGCUCAAAUUGCAACAACAAAGUCUUUCAUAUAUUUAUGAGAAAAAAUAUAAUUUAAAUUUUCUUAGUUAGAUGUCCAAACGACCCUUAAUAUAUAAAUGGCCUAAAGAUUGUCCCAAAAUCCCCCUUACACAACUUGGGAAAUCACCUUCCACAUCAAAACGUUUUAAAUAUAUGUGUCUCCAAGUAAAUUUGCCCGCACGAUCUUAAUUAUGUUAUUGAAUUUAGAUAUGAGAUUUUCUAAGUUGGAUGUGUAGCUGUUGACAGCUUUGGACAUUUAGCUACUGCUGCUUCUGCUUGAAGACAAGUAAACACGAUAGUUGGAAGGAGAGGAGAUAUAUGUGCACACAAUCAGAAUGUUUAGAGCUUGUGCAACAGAAGAUGGUCACACAGAUCUAGCAAUUUGGUAACUUUUUGUUAGAACAGAUUAGUCUUUGUUGUAUGUAUAAUAAAGCAACUUCAAACUAAAUUUUUUCCCAAUUCCUAUUCCAUAUGGUCUAAAGAAAAACUUCUAGACACAUCCAGGAAAUGCGAGAGAAUUUAAUGGUUUCAAUAUAUAAGAGGAAAUUGGAUCUCUUUUUCGUGGGUAUAUAUAGGACAAAUACUUAAUGUUGACUCUGAUAUUUCAGGGACAUGAUGUUUACAACCAUGGAGUAAUAAUUGAAUGAGAACUAUUUAAUCUCCACCUCCUUCCACCUUCUUUUUUUUUUUUUUAAACAAAACUUUGAAGUAUCUCUAGACGAUGAAAAAAAGAAGCUAUCCAGAGAAGAUGAGUAAUUGAGUAUUUUUUUUUUUGGUUAAAAGGGGGGCAAUUCAUUAACAGCUUAGCCAAGGUCAACACGAGUAUCAGUGGGUAGAGCUACUGCUCCACUCGAAGUAUUGGGGGGUGGGGGGUUAGAUGAGUUAGCAUGAGCCACAUUCUGGCCAUGUAGGUCCAAAAUAGAAGGAUUAAUUAGCCUAGCAAAAACUUUUCCUUCCUUGUCCGCUUCUACGAAAGGUACUGCAGAAGCCGGUGGGCUUGACAAAAUAAUUGGCACGCCAAGUUGCAUGAGUUUGCUGCCUUCCUUAGCCAACCUGUCCGCGACUCUAUUUUGUUCCCUAAAGGUAUGGUUGAUUCUUGUUGCCUCGAGUACCUGCAGGAGGGACCUGCUCUCAAAAAUCAGGUUAGUAUAAAGUUCGUGGCCACGGGUAAUAGCGCUGACAAGCUCCUUUGAGUCAGUACAAAUGAUGAGAGGUUUGAUACACAUUGUACUAGCAAUCCUCAGUCCUCUAAGCAGUGCCUUGAUCUCAGCAUGCAGGGGGGUCGAAUGAGAGGUGCAUUCCAUGUAUCCAACAACCUACUCCCUUUGUGGUCUCUAAUAACAUGUUUCCAGUCAACAGGAUUCAUUUUAUUGUUAAAAAGGUUGUCAUUUCUAGUGAGCCAAAUGGUCCAUAAUAGUUGGGGUAGCAGAUGGUCCCAAGUAAUAUGCACAUUAUACUGGACAUUAUGUAAGUGUUUCCAGGCCUUAAGGGCCUGGUUGACAGUAAAGUAGUUUCCUAUGGAGAUGUGAUGCAUUUGGCUUGAUUGAUUAUGUUGUUCCAGCAGUGGAGGCAUUGGUGCAAGUCAAGAAGAUAUGGUCAAUAUCCUCACACGAAUGUCUGCACAAAGAGCAUGAGGAGUUAUUGGUUAUGCCAAGUCUGUGCAAGUAGUAUUUGGUCUGUAGCCUGCCAUGGGCAAGUAGCAAAAUGAAAGUCUUGAUCUUAUUGGGAGCUGGCAACUUCCAGAUCCAAGGGAAAUCAAAGGGAGGCUGGGCAUUCCCUUUUUCAGCAAUGGAGGUGUAGACACUAUUAGUAGUGAAUCUUCCAUUAGGGGUUGUACUCCAGUACAUAAUGUCCUCUUUGGUGGGGUUGGAGUGAGCUAGAGUGUCCUCCAUGUAUUGGAGGAUAGCCGGAGGGAGUUCGAAGGAUAUGCUGGAGAGAUUCCAGCCUCCAUCAGUUAGCAAGGUGCCAACAGUGAUGUUAUCCCCAUUAUGAGGAAGAGGGCCUUCUAUGAGUUCUCUUAAGGGUGGUUUAUGAGGGAUCCAUCUAUCCAAGAAGAGCUUGGCCUUAUCACCCUUGUUCAUAUGCUAUCCAAGACUUUUGGUGCAUUGGUUCCAUCCUUGUUGAAUGUUUCUCCAGGUGCUAGACACCACUCUAUUAGCCGAGUGACCCCUGGGGGGUCUCUGAUAUUUAGAGGUGAGGAUUUUCCCCCAUAGGGAGGUAGGAUUUUUGACUAACCUCCAAGCCAAGCUUGCAUGGAGUGCCCUGUUUCUGAUCUCAGUUUUGUGAAAACCAAGUCCCUCUUUGGUCUUAGGCUUGGUGAUAGUAUCCCAACUGAGUAAGUGCAAUUUCUUUUUCUCAUCCUCAGUUCCCUAGAUAAAAUCUCUUUGCAUUUUAUCCAUGGAACUAGUGACUUUCCUAGGGAUUUUUAUGUAUUGCAUGAGGUAGGUGCGCAUGCUGCUAAGGGUAGCCUUAGCCAGAAUAGUCCUACCAGUCAUGUUGAGUUGAGCAGUUUGGUUUUCCAACCAAAAAGUUUGUUAGCCAUGCAGUCAAUAAUAGAUUGGAAAUCAGCAUUAGUGGGGGCUUUGUGGAAGAUAGGGAAGCCCAAGUAGUUGCCAAACUCAGGUUUCCUAUCUAUGCCCAGAAUGGUAGAGCAAGUGGUAGCAUUGUGGUUGGUGGUGUUAGAAGAUAAGAGGACUCUAGACUUAGCUUUAUUUAUUUUCUGUCCAGAGAGAGAGCUGAAUUGGUCUAGGGUAGACAGAAUGAUGUUGCAGUUGGCUAGCUCUAGCAAAUAGGGUGAGGUCAUCUGCAAAAAAUAGAUGGGAGAUUUUUGGACCAUCUAUAGUGAUGGAGAUAGGGGUCCAGUCCUUUUUUGUGACAUGAAGGUCUAUGGUUCUAGCUAGUCUCUCUAUGCAAAUGAUAAAGAGGUAGGGGGAAAUGGGGUCGCCUUGUCUGAACCCCCUGGUAGGGGUGAAGUGGGUAGCAGGGCUCCCAUUGACAAGGAUGGAGAGAGAGUUAGUGGUGACACAGGACAUGGUGAGUCUAGUGAUCUUGUUAGGGAAAUUGAAGAAGUGGAGAGAGUCAUGAAUGAACGACCACUCUAGCCUAUCAAAGGCUUUUUCAAGAUCAAUUUUGAGGAUCAUAUUAUGGUGUUUGCCACGCAUUUUCCUAAAAUAUGAGAUGUAUUCCUGAACAAUGAUGGCAUUGUCUGCAACUGUUCUGUUGGCUAGGAAACUGGCCUGGGAGGGGCCAAUGAUGGUCCCCAGGAUAGGCUUGAUUCUAUUGACAAUAAUCUUAGUGAUGAGCUUAUAGGAAGUGUUGCAAAGGCUAAUGGGCCUGAAGUCAAUCAUUGAAGAUGCAUCGGGGCAUUUAGGGAUAAGGCAGAUAAGGGUUUUGUUUAUCUCUUCCGGGAUAGUGUAGUCCUGGAAGACCUUGUGACAAAAGGCUGCUGAUUUAUCACCUACAAUGUCCCAAUAUUUCUGAUAGAAGAGGGGGUGGAGGCCAUCAGGCCCAGGAGCUUUGAGAGGUUUAAAGCUCUUGAGAGCAAUGGUGAUCUCAGAGUCUCUAAGAGGGUGUUCAAGGUUCUUCUUUUGAGCUGAGGUAAGGAUGCGGGUAGUCUCUCCAGUUUGGUUCCUGUGGAGGCCAAUGGAGGUAUGGUCAGAGGUAUAGAGCUUGUGGUAGAAGGUGGAUAUGUGAUUCGUAAUACCAUCUUUAUCAGGGAUGAUGCUACCUACCUCAUCCUUAAGAAAAUGGAUCUUUUUCCUCUUCCUUCUUACCAUGGUUGAAGUGUGGAAGAAUUUGGUGUUAGCAUCACCACAUGUGAGCCAGUUAAUAUGGGAUCUGACCAUCCAAAAGUCCUCCUCUGACUGUAAGAGCCUGUUGUAAUCGGAGAAAAGGUCGUUUUCCAGGUCAUGGAGGUAUGGGCUGGUGUGGUAAUGAGCAGACUUUUGGAUGCCAUCUAGCCUAGCUAAAAUCCUUUUAAUUUUGUGAAAGAUGUUUCCAAAUGUGUCUCUACUCCAGAUGGAGGCCUCCUGCCGGAAGAGUUGGAUAGAAUGGGUAAGGGAGGUGUGUUCAUGAAAGGAUUGUCUAAUGAUAUUUUGAAGUGUAUGGUGCGAGCACCACAUGGGCUCAAAUCUAAAAGGCUUAUUGGGGGAGGUAGGGGAGGGAUUGGUAAGAGUGAGGAGCAUAGGGCAGUUGUCUGACCUUGUUCGAGGCAGGUGUGUGACAGAUGCCUCCGGGAAUUGAUUUAUCCUCGAGGUAUUAGCAACACACCUAUCAAGUCUCUCAAGGAUAAGGUUCCUCCUAUGCUUAUACCUCUUAUUGUUCCAGGUGUAUUUGCAACCUUUAAACCCUAGAUCUAUCAUCCCACAGUUAUCAAGACACUCUUUAAAAAAAGAGGAUCUAUUAUUGUUAAUACUUAGGCCACCAAGUUUUUUUUUGGCCAAGAGAACUUCAUUGAAGUCUCCUCCCAUUAGCCAUGGGCCUGAAUGCGUCUGGGCCAUGAGCUUAAGCUCUUCCUAGAGGCCUUGCCUAAUAAGGAAGUUAGGGCUAGCGUAGAUGGCAGAGAAAAGCCAAGAGGAGGGGUUUGGGAGAUGGGUUACCUUGAGAAUGACGUGAAUGCCCUGGGCUGUGACCGUAAAGUUGUCAAGCUGGAUGCGAUCUGGGUGCCACAUGAGGACGAUUCCAGUGAGACCAACAACAGGAGAUUGAACAUGGGCUUCAAAGCCCAUAGUAGUAGUGAGGUGCUUGUGCUCCGACAUCUUAGUCUCGAGAAGGACAAGCAUAGCAGGGCGGUGAAGCUUGAGCAUUGCGUCGCACUGACGCCUGAAGUUAGAACUGUUGGCUCUUUUAGUGUUCCAAAUCAUCACAUUCAUUGGGGUGGUGAGUGGGGGGGGCGGUAUGUAUGACUGGGUCCUUCCCCUUGUCCAGUUGGGGGUGGUCCAGAACUAUGAUGAUUGGUUUUAGUAGCAUUGCUGGGGGGGGGGGGGGGGGGGGGGUCCUCAGAGAUAGCGAGAAUAGCUUCUUCUCCAGAGGGAGAUACACCAUAAUAGCUGAGCUAAAUGGCUCGUUGAAUUCUUUCGUUAGUGGCUUGUCUAGGGCUAAGAUGUCUAGAGUUGGCUCCCCGAACAUUGCCAGAAAGUUUUCUAGCUCCUCGUUGCUCUGUCUGAGAGAGUCCAGGAGAGUUGAGCUUGUGCUUCCUGGGCCUUCUGCCCCUGAUGUUGGGGGCACUGGGGCAUCUGACUCUAGAGGUUUGGGGAUGAAAGUAAGUGCCUGGGAGGNNNNNNNNNNNNNNNNNNNNNNNNNNNNNNNNNNNNNNNNNNNNNNNNNNNNNNNNNNNNNNNNNUCUGGUGGAGUCAGGUUCCCGGCUUUGGAAAAAAAAGUUUUGAGCAUUGUUUGCUGCCAUAGUUGGUUCCCCAUUUCCAUCACCGCUUGGUCCAGGGCUUUCUUGGUUAUUUGGGCUAGGUAUGCCGGGUCCUGGAGUAUUAGAGUGAUGUUCUUCUCUCUCACCUUUGCCUGAAAUUGCAGAUGGACUCCUUGAAGUGCAAGUUCCAUCCAAGAGGUCGAAGUUGUGUUUGGCGCAGGUGGUGUUGAGAUGAAGAUUGAGGGCGUCGUGCUGCUUUCCAAGUUCGGGUCCAUUGGGAGAGGUUUGGAAAAGGCAAGUAGUAGAUUUGGAAAAGGUGUGAGUAGCUUCCUCCGACCAUUCUUUCAAGGUGGCAUUAGUAGUAGUAAUAUUAGGGUAGUUAAUUGAAGUGACCUCAUCGGUCACUUCAAAUGUUUUGCUCUCAUUAUUGCUUAGGGCAAUGGCGAAGGGAUUGCUUAGGGGUUUUCCAAUAACUGUAGAAACGGAUGGAGUUUUCAAUGUGAAGGUAGGGGCAGGUCUGUGAGGAGGGGUGGCAUAGAGGCCCCAUCGCAUUUAAUCAACGCGUCAGUUCCCAGUGGAAUAAAUUUAUUGAAGGUAAUAAAUUCAGAGGGUAUAUUGGUUGGGGCAUUCUCAUUAGGGUGCAUGUGUGGCACCGGAGUGGGCCUAUUGUUGGGGCCUUCUUUUUGGGCUUAUUUUGAGGGGCCCUGCCAUCAUGAUGGGGAGUUGGGCCACAAUCCAAGAUUUGAUUUGGGCCACUCAGGUUUUGGGCUGAAGCAGGGUCAGUGAACAUACCUGUGGUUUUGUCAUAGACCCUUACCUGUGUUUGGGCCUGGGCCUUAGUGUUGCUGACCCGUUCUGGGCUUCUCUUCAAGGGCGUCCUCCUUUUUGGAAAGGAGACGACCCGCCAUUGGCCAUCCGUAGGAAGCUGUAUAGUUUCACUGGUGGAUGGGGUGCCGGUGCAGAUUGGUGUCGUGGUGGUAGGGCAUUCCCCGUGAGUAUGUCCCAACAUGCCGUAGUUGGUACACAAGAUCUUCUCCCCUUCGUAAAUCACCAUUUGUCUAUGAGUGCCAAUGGUAAUGUGGGAUUUAAGUGAGUGCUCUAAUGGUACCUGUACACAAAUGCGUGCAUAGCGUCCACGCAGCGCAGUGGAGGUGCAGGUGUCGAUCUUGAGUAAGGCACCAAGUUUCCUUCCGAUCUUCUCGAGAAUCUGCUGGUCGUAGAACUCGGUUGGUAGUUGUGGUAGACGUGCCCAAAUUGCAGUGUGGGUGAGGCUCGCUUCCUGGGGGACGAAAUUGGGCUCCCAUUUCCGAAUGGUAAGGAAGUUUCCUGUGAUGAACCAUGACCCUUCAUUCAGGACUCGUUCCAUGCUUUUAAUUAGGGAGAAUUUGGCAAUGAAGUAGUCAUUCCCCAGAUCAAUGAGGAUUAAGUUCUCACCCAGUUUCCACAGGUCAGUGAGUUUAUUUCUAAGGUAGGCAUGUGACAAUCGUUUCUUGUAGAGUUUAAUGAUUACUGAUAGACUCUAUGGUUGAUAGAUCCUUUGUUUUUCUUGGUCGGUUAGUUCGAUUGCAUCUUCAUCGUUCUCUUCCUUUUCCAAUGGGAGCCCGUCAUAGAUGUUGUAGGAACGGUUGAUUUCUUUUUCCUUAUUGAGAAAGACGUCCUUGAAGGAGGAGUAGGCUGGGCUUUCAAUUUCCAUGCUGGAUUCUCGAGGGUCGGGAGGUUCUGGUGGGAUCGUGGUAGUUAUCUGCGGUGUGUUAGGUAUACUCAUGGGGUUGGUUUAGUAAUUGAGUAUUAUUAAAACAGAUAUAUCGCUGUUUGAUUCAGUCGGCAGACUCGACACCAGUGGAAAUGUUGCCCACCCGCCUAUAAUUGACUAAUUAUCAAUGUCCAUUAUUUUCAAUUCUUUUGUAACUUGGAGUUGGUGUGGUGAAGUGCUGUUCUCAAUCUUUUUGCUCUAACAGCAGAAAGAACUACGAGUAAUAUUCAUUAUAAAAUUCCCUUUGUAGGUAGAAGAGGUAGUGCAUGUUACACAUCUUAUUGGAGAGGGAUGAAUGAAAUGGAAACUUGUUUCUGUUGUUUGUUUGAUAAGAAUAUAUCAUCAAGACUUAAAAGGAAUGUUUUAUAAAGUGGUGGUAAGAUGAGGCAUGUUAGUGGAGUGUUGGCCGAUCACGAAUUACAUGUUCAGAAAAUAAAAGUAGCGAAAUGAGGAUGUUGAGAUACAUGUGUGGAAAUACUAGGAGAGAGAAGAUCAAAAAUGAAGUUUUGCGACAUAAGGUGGGAGUAGCUUUCGUGGUGGACAAAAUGGGGAGGCGAUGUUGAGAUGAUUUGAACACAUAAAGGGAAGAUGCACAUAUUGCUAGUGAAGAGGUGUGAGAGGUUGGUUGUAGUCGGCCGGCAUAAAGAAGAGUAGGGGUAAGCUGAAGAAGUUUUGAAGCGAGGUGAUUAGACAGGACAUGAUACAUGCAGAUUACUGAGGACGUGUAUGUCCUUAGAUAGGAAGAUGUGGACAUGAAAGAUUAGGGUAGAAGGUUAGUAGGUAGCUGACUAUUGUCGAAUUCCCUUGUCAAUAUGGCAUUAUUACUCUCCUAACUAUUAUAUUUUUCAAUUUUAGUAUCACCUGUUGUUUUGAUUGCUUCAGUUAUCGUAUUAUGUGUUCCCCUGGUGCUUUAUUUCAUUGUUUUAUAGUAUCCCAUAAAUUUCUUAAAUAAAUAUAAAAUUUGUACAAAAAUUAAUGAAUUCAACCAAACUCGUAAUCUUUACUCUAGCUCCACCCUCGCUAGGAAGGAGAUAAAGGUUUGCCACUCAUUAGAAAUGACAAACAGCCACAAUUAUUGGAAUCCAGAACCAAAGUUUGCAACAUGACUUCUUGGGGAUAACCAAAACAACUACAGAAAAGAGUUAAAGGAACCUCAAAAACCACGUUAGUUGCUUUGGUUCUUGUCUGACUCAUUCACUUCACCAUUUUGCUGCGGAGUGACAGAUGUAGUCAUCAAAUCAAAACCCAACUUUUGCUUUGUGAUUUCAUCAAGAACCUCAAUCAUUUCUUUUGAAAGAUGGUUCUUGAAAUCGCCCAUUUUGCCUCGCCGGAAAUAUAUGUUGUUUGCAAUAGUAGGACUAAACGCUCCAGAGUAUGUGCCCUCUUUAUUCACCUCCAAAUUGCUCAGUUUCUCAAAGCUGCAGAGCUCUAUUAUUCUCUCUACAAUGCCUUCACUUUCUUCCUCCAACGAAAAUGGCUGCCCCAAGAACUCUGCUAUUCUCUUUGCAUUAAAGAUUGGAUCUUUCUUCAAAUCCUCAUACUUCAAGAAAAGAACCCUCUCUGGAAAUUCUAAGCUGGCUUUAUAAUAUCCCAUCACAUGAUCCCAAAAUGGACCAAAAGGGGAAUACCCUAUAGUAAAUUGGUCAAAUGCUUCUGGUAGAGAAUUGAAAGGCACGUCUUUGGGUCUUAAUUUCUGCAUAAAGUACCAGAAAGAAACCAACACAUCUUUUGCAUUGCGAAACACAAACUAUUUUGCAUUUGGAGUCAUUACCUGUUAUAGACUUUGGUAAAGCAUUGAAGGCAAGAUGUGAUUGUAUGAGACAAGUGUUUGGUGUUGGAUUUGUUGGGUGCUUAAAUGCAUAGGCCUCUAGAUAGGGUACUAAUUCAUGUGGGUUUGAAAAGAGCAAAGGAUGCGUGCUAAAAUUGUCGUAUUGUGAUCUGUUUGUAAUGGCAAAAAGAAGGGCCUUGAGCCAUGUGGUGCCAGAUUUUGGGUGACUGGCUAGUAAGACACUGUUUGGUUUUGGCUCAAAGUGUUGCUGCUGAAGUACUAGCAGACCUUCUAGACUUUUUGUCCAAUACCAAAUACCUUUGUAUUGGUGAAUCUGAUCACUUAGCCAACCUCUUUCACUUGGAAGCUCAGAGAGUAUUUUAUCAACGGAUUCUUGGUGAUUUUUAUGGCUUUGUUCUUUGGUGGCAAGUGGCAACAUUUGUGAGUAAGGGGGAGUUCUGGGUAGAGAAGAAGUUUGCCAUUUGAGUUGAUGCUCAAAAGUAGCCGAAACUCUUGCUGCAUUUAUAAGACUUUUGAGCUUCGUUAGGUAGUUGGUCAGGAGCUAAGUUAUUUAUUGUUUAGCAGUUAGUUGAGAAACUUAGCUGUUCAUUGUUAAUUACUUACUUAUUUGUUGUUAAUUCCGGUAGUUAUCAGUAGAAUUAGUUAGUAAGCUAAGCCAAGUUUUGGUCUCUAUAUACUAUUACAUUGAUUUUUUUCUUUUUUUUUGGUUAGACUAUUACAUUUACAUAUACUAUUACAUUGCUUUACUGUCGAUGUUUACAUAUCUAAAAUGACAAUCUGAAAAAAGUUUUCACAACUUUUUCAUCUUUUCUCCUUUUCCUUUCUGCAUGUCUGGAUCAAGCGCAGAGGUGCUCUGAAUUAGUGAAGUUUACAUGUAUGUAUAAAAUCCCGUGUAAAUAAUAUCAUGAUUGAUAACAUUUAAUUCUUGUUCAUGUCUCAAAAUUCACUCAACUAUGAGAAAUGGAGAAAAAACGUCAUUUUCCUCUGAACAACUUACUUUGGUACUGUAACUAAACUUUCAUCUAUUUUCUCUCCUUAACAUCUUUUAAUCUUUUAAGUGUAUUAGUUUCACUUAUCACUCACACAGCGGAGAGUGCACUACACUCGCGCCAUGUCAUUGCCACAUCAGUGCCAUGUCGCUGCCACGUAAAAAGUUACCAUUGUUUUUUUAAAAAUCCUCACAUAAUAUAUCUAUAAUCUAUAUCUAUAAUCUAUAUCUAUAAUCUAUAAUAUACUAAAAAUGUGAAGACCCUUCAAAAAGUGAUUUAAACUUUUUGUACUUCAUUAAAAGACUUUCUUUAGACAAAACUGUCUUUUCACUAUUUCUUUAAAUUUAUUAUUUAAUUAUUUUUAUUAUAUUAACUAGGCUUCUUAAAAUAUAUGAGACUCAUAAAAUAUAUGAUAGAAGAAUCAAUUAAUAUUUUUCUUUUUCUACUAGAAUUCUUAAAAUAUAUAGGACUGCUAAAAUAUAUGGUAGGGGAAUUAAUUACUAAUAUUUUUUUUCUACUGUUCAAUUAGAAAAAUAUUCCUAAAAUAGGAUUCUAUUAAGGAAAUACUACGAUAAAUAUUGAAAUGUACGUUAUACUAGAAAACAAACCGGUUUGCCUAUUGGAGAAUAUGAUUGAUGUUCAUCUAACUUAAUUCAAUUGCAUGUCUAAAUUGGUGGAUAUUUGAUGUUCUAAUCCUCAAUUUCUUCACUGUUUUUGUCAGCAUAAUAUAAUUCGAAUGUGUGUGUAUAUAUAUAUAUAUAUUCUUUGUUUUAAUUCAAAAUCAUCUGCUAGGGUCAAAAUUUUCGCUCAGACAAAAAUUAGUUGGAUCAAAAUCGAAAUUUUGUGAUCACAAUUAUUUUUUUUUUAUAGUUUACAGGUCGUGAAUGAAUGUCAGUUGGACUUGAAGAAUUUCUUGUGUAAAGGUCAGGUUUAAUUGUAUUGUUUUGAUAUCUUUAUUAUCUUAUUGUUUUAUUUUAACUGUUAGAUGAAUGUGGGUCGACUUUGAAAUUUUUUGUAGGUAAAAGUUAGGUUUAAUUGUAUUAUCGUAAUAUCUCUAUUAGUUUGUUAUUUUGUGGUAGUUUACAGUUUGUAGAUGAAUCUCGAUCGGCUUUAAAAAAAAUUUGUGUGUAAAAUUUAAGUUUAAUUGUAUUGUUUUGAUAUCACUUUUAUCGUAUUAUUUUGUUGUAGUUUACAAGUGAUACAUAAAUGUUGGUCAGCUAUGAGGAAUUUUUUAAUGUAAAGUUUAGGUUUAGUUGUAUUAUUUUGAUAUCUCUAUUAUCUUAUUAUUUUGUUAUUGUUUACAAGUGGUAGAUGAGUGUCAGACGACUUUGAGAAAAUUUUUGUGUGUAAAGAUUCGAUUUAAUUGUAUUAUUUUGAUGUCUCUAUCAUUGUAUUGUUUUGUUGCAAUUUACAGAUGGUAGAUGAAUGCCGAUCGAUUAUUAAAAUAUUUUUUUUGUAAAGAUUAAGUUUAAUAAAUAAAUUCUCCAUCUUUACAUAUUCAAAAGAUAUUAAAUUUAAUUAUUAUAUUCAUCUUUAUUAUUUAAACAAAUAUCCUAUUUAGUGUAAUGUUUUAACUCAUUAAAGUGAAGUACACGCGCAAGAUGCGUACACCUAAACUAGUAUAUAUAUAUAUAUAAAUACCAAAAAAUACACUCCACCCCAUUUUUCUUUCUUCAUCAAACCCAUCCACCCGCACCCCGCGUGCCCCUUUUUCUUUCUUCUUCCCAGCCCCCACCCCACUCCCGCAAACACAAAAAAUACUCACCACCCCCUUUUCUUUCUUCUUCAAGACCACCCCAACCCCUCUCCCUGCAAUUCAAUUGAUGACAAUGGCCAUGGAUUUACAGUCUUGAUAAUUUUUUGCUAUGUAAAACAACAAAUUUGUUAUAAAUUUUUCUUUUUCUCAAUAAUCAAUUGAAAAAGUGUAUUAAAAUUUAUAAAUCUUUUUCUAUAUUUAUUUCUUUUUUGAACAAAUUGAUGAAGCGUAAUAGAGGUAGAGGUGGAGGGUGGGGGUUGGAGAUGCGGGUGUAAGAGAAAAAAAAUAGAAAAAUGGAGUGUGAGGUGCGGGGUUGGGGUGGGGUUGUCUGAAAACUUUUUGUGCUUAAAAGAGGGUGGGGAGUAGGGAUAAUCAUCUACUAUUUCUAGAUAAAUUAAUCGAGUAUUUUUUGAAAAAUUUGAUAAUUCAUCGAAUAUUUCUCGAAUUGAUGUUAUUUCUCGAAUAAUUACUUUACUUUGCUCCGGCCAUCAUUAGAAAUCAUUAUGAUUGAAUUUUAUAAUAAUCCCAUCGAAAAAAUGAUGUGGCUGUUAUAAAACAAUAAAGAACUAAGAAUAUUAACAUUACUAUUUUAAUAUCACUUGAAUUGAUGGAUAGUUCCUCAUUUUCUUGAGUCUCAGGCUCAGUAAUUCCUUCAGGAAUAUUAACAUUGUUCAAAUCUUGAACUUCCAUGUGAGGAUCUUUCGUAGAGUCAUCUUGACCAUUUGUUUUUCUUUUUCUAGGAUUUCGAUUCUUAGAACCUAAUGGUCUGCCACGCUUCAAGCGUGCUUUAUAUUCAUUAGCUAUGACACUAGUGGAUGGUUCUUUAGGGACAUCAAUUCGAAUUGGGACAUUCUCUGCAGGAAUAUGUGAUUUGGUGAUCCUUUUCAAAUCAGUAAAUGCAUUCGGCAUUUGAUUUGAAAUUUUCUGCAGAUGAAUAAUCUUUUGUACUUCUUGCUCACAAAUAAAAACACGUGGAUCAAGAUUAGAUAGUGAUGGAUUUUUUCACGAAAUUUCUCUUGUGAUGUUACUAUCUUCUCUCCCUAAUUUUGGGAAAACCACCUCAUCAAAUCGACAAUCUGCAAAUCGAGCAGUGAACAUAUCUUUUGUUAAUGGUUCAAGAUAGCGAAUAAUGGAGGGUGAUCCAAACCCAACAUAAAUUUCUAACCUUCUUUGGGGGCCCAUCUUGGUACGAUUUGGUGGUGCUAUAGGUACAUAUACACAGCACCCAAAAAUUUUCAAAUGAGAUAUAUUAGGAUUUUGAUCCAAAAUCAAUUGUAACGGAGAAAAUUUAUGAUAUUUUGUUGAUCUAAGACGAACAAGUGAUGCAACAUGCAAAAUUGCAUGACCCCAAACAGAAGCGGGCAACUUAAUUUUCAUAAGCAAUGGUUUUGCUAUCAACUGCAGACAUUUAAUUAAUGACUCGGCAAGGCCAUUUUGAGUGUGAAUAUGAGGUACAAGAUGUUCCACUCUUCUUAUCGCAAUCGAUAAGCAAUAGUCAUUAAAUGCUUGGGAUGAAAAUUCUAUAGCAUUAUCAAGGCAAAUAAACUUAAUUUGAUUAUCGAGAAACUGUGACCCUAAUCGUAUUAUUUGUGCCAAUAAUUUUGCAAAUUUCAAGUUGCGAGAUGACAAAAGGCACACAUGAGACCAUCUAGUGGAAGCAUCUAUUAGGACCAUAAAGUAUCUAAAAGAUUCACUAUGUGGGUGAAUGAGUCCACAAAUAUCCCCAUGUAUGCGUUCCAAGAACGCGGGGGACUUAAUCCCAACUUUUGUUGGCGAUGACCUCACAAUCAGCUUGCCUUGAUAACAAGCAUUGCAUGAAAAUUCACCAUUCGAAAGAACCUUCACGUUCUUUAAUGGAUGCCCAUUUGAAUUUUCUAUGAUUCGUCUCAUCAUUAUAGAUCCAGGAUGUCCCAAACGAUCAUGCCAAAGUACGAAAGUAUUGGAAUUAGUAAACUUCCGAUUUACUAUAGAAUGUGCCUCAAUUGCACAAAUCUUUGUCCAAUACAGGCCAGAAGAUAAAGCCGAGAAUUUUUCAAUAACACAUGUCUGCCCAGAGACAUUCUUGGUGAUACCAAGAUAUUCAAGAUUCAUCUCAUCAAUUGUCUUGAUAUGAUAACCAUUUUCACGGAUAUCUUUAAAACUCAUCAAGUUUCUCCGAGACUUAGGAGAAAACAUAAUAUUAUUUAUGAUGAGUUUAGUUCUCUUGGGCAAGAUUAUAAUGGUUUUUCUGAAGUAUUCAAUCAAAUUAGCACUACCAGAAAUUGUAGUAACAUUAAUCUUGCCCAUGUUUAGAUGAGAGAAUAUUUCUCGUGUUUGAAUAUCAUAUGUGUAGUGCCAGAAAUCAAACAAAUAUCUUCACAAUUGUACAACUUACUUUGAAAAUUAUCCAUAUCUUCAAAUAAAAUAACAUACACCAAAUAAAUAUAUAUUAAAUCUUUGUACAAAAUGAGCUUAUAAUAUAAGAAAUUGUUAAUCACACUUUAAUAAGCAAUAAAAAAAAUACUCCCUCCGUUUAAAAAAGAAUGAUCUACUUUAACUUGGUACAAAAUUUAAGAAAAUAAAGAAGAUUUUUGAAUUUUGUGGUUUAAAUUAAAGUUGUGUCAAAUGUACCAAAAUGUCAUUUAAUCUUGUGAUCCUAAACAUGUCAUGUGGAAAGUUGAAAUUAACAUAUUGCCAAAAAAGAAAAGAGGUCAUUUUUUUUUAAACGGACUAAAAAGAAAAGUAGAUCAUUCUUUUUGAAACAGAGAGAGUAUGUCCAUUUAGUAUGUGAUUAGCUUAGCUUAGCAUUUUAUUUUUCAAUAGCUUUAAUAGUUUACUAAGGAAAAAAAUGCAUUUUGUUCAGAACGUUAACAUGUAAACAAUAUGAUAUUAUUAUAUUACUAGAGGUGCAUGGCCCAUGUCAGCACGGGCCCAACACUAUAAAUAUUUUUUAGCACUAAAAUUUGAUAUUGAUGAGAUACAAAUAUAAAUAUACAUUUUUUUUAAUUAAAUAUUAUUGAUUCUGAUAUAUAAAUGACUUAUAAUAAUUAAUUAGAGGUAAUAUAGUAAAAAAUAUUAUUAAUUCUAAUGCGUAAAUAACUUAUAAUAAUUAAUUAGGGGUAAUAUAGUAAAUCACUGAGCAAUUAGGGGUAAUAUAGGCAGACAUGUCAUCUAUUUUUUUAAUUAAAUANNNNNNNNNNNNNNNNNNNNNNNNNNNNNNNNNNNNNNNNNNNNNNNNNNNNNNNNNNNNNNNNNNNNNNNNNNNNNNNNNNNNNNNNNNNNNNNNNNNNNNNNNNNNNNNNNNNNNNNNNNNNNNNNNNNNNNNNNNNNNNNNNNNNNNNNNNNNNNNNNNNNNNNNNNNNNNNNNNNNNNNNNNNNNNNNNNNNNNNNNNNNNNNNNNNNNNNNNNNNNNNNNNNNNNNNNNNNNNNNNNNNNNNNNNNNNNNNNNNNNNNNNNNNNNNNNNNNNNNNNNNNNNNNNNNNNNNNNNNNNNNNNNNNNNNNNNNNNNNNNNNNNNNNNNNNNNNNNNNNNNNNNNNNNNNNNNNNNNNNNNNNNNNNNNNNNNNNNNNNNNNNNNNNNNNNNNNNNNNNNNNNNNNNNNNNNNNNNNNNNNNNNNNNNNNNNNNNNNNNNNNNNNNNNNNNNNNNNNNNNNNNNNNNNNNNNNNNNNNNNNNNNNNNNNNNNNNNNNNNNNNNNNNNNNNNNNNNNNNNNNNNNNNNNNNNNNNNNNNNNNNNNNNNNNNNNNNNNNNNNNNNNNNNNNNNNNNNNNNNNNNNNNNNNNNNNNNNNNNNNNNNNNNNNNNNNNNNNNNNNNNNNNNNNNNNNNNNNNNNNNNNNNNNNNNNNNNNNNNNNNNNNNNNNNNNNNNNNNNNNNNNNNNNNNNNNNNNNNNNNNNNNNNNNNNNNNNNNNNNNNNNNNNNNNNNNNNNNNNNNNNNNNNNNNNNNNNNNNNNNNNNNNNNNNNNNNNNNNNNNNNNNNNNNNNNNNNNNNNNNNNNNNNNNNNNNNNNNNNNNNNNNNNNNNNNNNNNNNNNNNNNNNNNNNNNNNNNNNNNNNNNNNNNNNNNNNNNNNNNNNNNNNNNNNNNNNNNNNNNNNNNNNNNNNNNNNNNNNNNNNNNNNNNNNNNNNNNNNNNNNNNNNNNNNNNNNNNNNNNNNNNNNNNNNNNNNNNNNNNNNNNNNNNNNNNNNNNNNNNNNNNNNNNNNNNNNNNNNNNNNNNNNNNNNNNNNNNNNNNNNNNNNNNNNNNNNNNNNNNNNNNNNNNNNNNNNNNNNNNNNNNNNNNNNNNNNNNNNNNNNNNNNNNNNNNNNNNNNNNNNNNNNNNNNNNNNNNNNNNNAUAAAUGACUUAUAAUAAUUAAUUAGGGAUGAUAUAGUAAAAUCAUGGUUAAAGCAGCUGAAACAAACAUUAUAAAUAUCUAUUUUUUUAAUUAAAUAUUAUUAAUUUUCUAUAAAUGACUUAUAAUAAUUAAUUAGGGAUAACAUAAUAAAAAUAUUAUUAAUUUUAAUAUAUAAAUGACUUGUAAUAAUUACUUAGGAAUAAUAUAAUAAAUCACGAAAUAAAUAGGGUGUAAUAUAGUAAAUAAUGGGGAUACUAAAAUAAAUCCACGAAGAGGUGGUCGAAAUCACCUCUUCUAUAUAAUAGAAAAAAAAAGAAAUAUUUGAUGAAGAAUGAAAUAAUAUUAUUAUAAUUCAAUAGUAUGGAACAUAAAGAAUACAAUAAAAGAAAUAAAGGGCUUAGGCGGGUCCUUGGUUGCUAGCCAACAAUCACUUUUUUUUUUCAGGUUACAAUUUGCUUUCCAUUACAAUAGACAUAUUCACAGAUUACAAUUUGCUUUCAAUUGUAUCGUGUUUUUUUUCUUCUUUUUUUCAAUAAAUAAUGACCAAAUUAAAGUUUGAUUUAACUCAAUUAUAAACAACAAUAAUAUAAUUAAACUAAUCAAUACUAAUCAAAAACUAAUAUUCAUGCAAAUAACUACUUUUACAUGAUUCUUUAUUCACUAACUCUUAUCAAUAAAAAUAAAACAAAAUUAAAUAUCAUUCAUUCUUCCAUGUUUACGAAACCAUCACCAAUCAAGUGAUCAAUCUUUUCUUCGGGAUGCUCAAAAAAAUUUGUUACAUCCAAACUUGUGAUGUCAACAGCAUUUUCAGAGAGAAAGUUAGCCUCGGGAUUUCUCUCUUUCAUCUUUAGUGAUGCUUGAGAAAGAUCAACCAAGUGCUUGAGAGCACGGCAGUCACAUGAAUAAUGUCCUUUUCCACCACAUCGGAAACAAGUAAUUGCUUCACGUAUCUCAUCUUUUUUCUUUUUGUUCGAUGAAUGAUUAACACCCGGAACAGGGUUUCUUUCUUAGUCAUCACGACCACAACCACGACUACGUCCACGACCAGGACAACGGUCUUUUCUACGCCUAGCAUGGUGAACAUGUACAUCAUUCACCUCAGGAAGUGGUGCAGAUCCAGUAGGUCGAUUCUCGUGAUUUUUCAUCAACAAAUCAUUAUUUUGUUCAGUCACGAGAAGAUGAGAACUCAUUUCAGUAUACUUCUUCAAACCUUUUUCUCGAUAUUGUCGUUGUAAUAGCACAUUCGAGGCAUGAAAAGUGGAGAGCGUCUUUUCCAUCAUAUCAUUAUCAUUGAUUGUCUCUCCACAUAGUUUCAAUUGAGAAGAAAUUCUGACAUGGCAAAAUUGUACUCAUGAACAGACUUAUAGUCUUGAAAUCUCAGAUGUAUCCAUUCAUAUCGUGCUUUUGGGAGGAUGAUCAUCUUUAAGUGGUCAAAUCUUUCUUUUAGGCUAUUCUACAAUAUGAGUGGAUCCUUAAUAGUAAGGUAUUCAAUUUUCAGAAUUUCGUCAAGAUGAUAAUGCAAAAAAAUCAUAGCCUUAACACAAUUUUGACUAGAUGUUGUAUUUUCAUUCUUUAUGGUGUCUCCAAGACCCAUAGCAUCUAGGUGAAUUUCAGCAUCCAACGCCCAUGAAAUAUAGUUCUUGCCUGAACUUUAAAGGGCAACGAACUCACACUUCGUAAGAUUGUUAGCCAUAUGGAAAAAGGGAAGAAAAUAAAAAAUAAUACCUUAGCCUUAGCCUUCAAAUUUGAGACGGUAGAGUCUCGUGCUGAUAAUGUGUUAUAAAACAAUAAAGAACUAAGAAGAAGAGUAGAGAGAAUAAUUGUUAUUUCUCUCUUAGGGAUGAUUUACAAUGAAGGAAACCCUUCUAUUUAUAGGGAAAAUUUGCUCCUAAUUUCACACUAAAAGACAGAUAUAUCAAAUUCUGAUAGACAUCAAAUAGAUCUUGAUAGACAUUCACUAUAAUUGAUAUAUAUCAUAACAGUGACAACCUUAAUUAGUUCUUAAUUUUAAUUUAAGAGAAUAUAAUAUAUUAGCCAUAUCUUGACCCUUUUUAUAUGUGUCCAACCCGAUUUUCCUUAUGGAUUAUAUAAUGGAAGAAUAUCAAUUUCUCAAUAGAUUAGGUUAUCUUGUGAAGACCAUUUUUAUAAAAAAAUUUGAUUGAUAUUUUUAUGAAAUAAAAUUAUAUUUAUAUAUUCUUAAAAUCUUCUAAAGUUGAGACAUGUGUUGGUAAAUUAUUUUUUUCCUCUAAUAUUAUGGCAUGUAGUUGAUAAAAUUAUUUUUCUCCCUAUAAAAAUGUGACAUUUAAUUGAGAAAAUUAUUUUUUUCAUACAUAUCUUUCUUGCCACUUGAGCUUUCACAUUCGGUAUAUCAUAAUAAUAUGAUAAACUAUUCUAUUUAUUGAGUUUGUCUUUAUAUUUUUAAUUGUUUGACUAAUCGAUUAAUACUCUUAAAAGUUUUUUUUAUAAUAUUUAGUUUCUGAUAAAUUACAUAUUAUUUAAUUAAUUCAAUUGAUAAAUAUAAAAAUUGAAUAUCUUAUAAUUUUUUUUAUGUAUUAAAGUACUUAUAUUUUAUAACUUUUAUUAACACAACUAUUAAUAUAACAUUAUUUGUAAAAAAUUUGACAAUGCUUAUUUAAUAACACAAUUAAAAAUAUAUUAUUUUAAAACUAUCUUUUAGCAUGUUGAUUAAUCUUUAAAGAAUUACAAUAAUUUUUUUAAAAAAUAAUAUCAUAUAUUUAUUUCUAUUUUAUGUGUUUUGAAGAAUUUAUCUUAUUUAUCACUCUUUUUCACUACAUCUUUUUUGCAGAUAGAUGCAAUAUUAUGAAAUGUUUCAUAAAAAUAGCAACCAAUUUUUUUUUUUUAUGAAAAUAGUAUUCAUUAGUUAGUCUAAUCUAUUAAAAAAUUGAUAUUCUUUCAUUAAAUAAUUCAAAAGGAAAAUUGAAUUGUGCAAAUAUAAAAAGGGGUCAAGAUAUGAGUAAUAUAUUAUAUAUUUACUUAUAUUAAAAUUAAGAAUUAAUUAAGGCUGUUACAUUAUUUUUACGAUGAAAUUAUUGUAAAAUUCGUGAUGAUAUGAUGGUCGAAGAAAAGUUAAAUGACUUUUGUAUAAUGAACGAAAGAAAAAUAAUUUUUGCCAGACACAAAAUUAGUAUUUCAACUGCAAAAAUUGUGCCCGUACACCGGAUGAAAUAUUAAAAAUUAAAAUGAGUUCAAGAAUCAUGUGCAACAGGAAAUGUUGACUUUUAAAUUCUGAAUGAAUUGGUCCAAAAUUGUCGAAGAAACUACAAAUUGCAGCCAACCAUGGAGUGCUAAUUGAAUGAAGAACUAUUUAGGGCAUGUGUGGAUAGGCUGGAAAAAAAAAAAGGCUUUUAAAAGGUAUUUUUGAAAGUACUGAAUUUGUUUUAAAAAUAAGAAGUUAUGUAUUUGUAUAAAAAUGCUGAAACUGAAAAAAGAUUAUUGAUGUAUAUGGUAAAUAAAUGUUUUUAAAUAUUUUUUUUGUCAAAAUGUCUGAAAUACUCUUAAAGCUAUUAAGGAUAUGUAGAGUUGAUUAUUGUUAACUUUUAUUUCUAAAAUGAUUCAGAUUAAUCACUUGUAAACGUUCCCUUAGUUUCAUCAUGUAUUUGGUCAUAGUAUUUAGGAAACAUAUUUCACUUGUAAACGUUUCCAAAAAAUGAAAUUUGAUUCAAAUACUAUUUUUUUCUAGUAUUUGAGAAUUUGAAUUAUUUGUCAAAAAUAGUUACCAAAUAAUGACAAAUUAUAAGGCCAAACAUUAUUUGUCAAUUUUUUUCUAAAAAAUUACUUAAAAAUUUUAUGAUCAAUCGGGUUCUAAACAUCAAUUAAUAGAGAUAGUAAGGUAAAAUAAUCAUAUAAUAAUUAUUUUUUAAUAAGUGUAUCAUGUCAAAAAGUGAUAGGUUAAAGCCAAAUGGAAGAAAUAUUAUUUUGUCAUGAUAUUUUCUAAUGCUAAGAAAAUCUGAUAACAAGUAUUCACACAAGUUCCUCUUUUAAAAAAAAAAUAAAAAUUGAGGGAUAAAAAUAUCUUCUUUUUUAAAAAGUAAAAAAAUAAAAAAUUUAAAAAAUUGAGGGAUAAAAUUAUCUAUUAUUUUCCAUUUUUUUUUUAACUUGGAGUUGGUGAAGUGCUGUUCUCAAUCCGUUUUGUAAGUGGAAGAGGUAGUGCAUGUUACACAUCGUACUCGAGAGGGGUGAAUGAAACGGAACCUCGUUUCUAUUGUUUUGUAUGUGUGAUAAGUUAAAAGCCUAAAAGUCAUGUUUUGUAAAGUGAUGGUUAAAUGAGACAUGUUAGUGGAGUGUUGGCCGAUCACGAAUUACAUGUUCAGAAAAUAAAAGUAGCGAAACAAAGAUGUUGAGAUGGAUGUGUGCAAAUACUAGGAGAGAGAAGAUCAAAAACGAAGUUAUGCGACAUAAGGUGGGAGUAGCUUUCGUGGUGGACAAAAUGGGGAGGCGAGGUUUGAGUGUUUGGACACAUAAAGAGAAGAUGCACAUAUUCCUAGUGAAGAGGCGUGAGAAGUUGGUUGUAGUGGGCUAGUGUAAAGAAGGGUAGAGAUAAGCUGAAGAAGUUUUGAAGCGAGAUGAGUAGACAGGACAUGACACUUCCAGAUUACUGAGGACAUAUCCUUAGGUAGGAAGAUGUGGAGAUCGAAGAUUAUGGUAGAAGGUUAGUAGGUAGUUGAGUAUUUUCGAGUUCCCUUAUCAGUAUGGCAUUAUUACUCUUCUAACUAGUAGUAUUAUAUUUUUCAAUUACCUGUUGUUUUUAUUGCUUCAGUUAUCAUAAUAUGUUUUCCCCUAGUGCUUUAUUUCAUUGUUUUAUGUUUAUCCUAUAAAUUUCUUACAACAAAUAUGAAAUUUGAACAAAAAUUAAUGAAUUCAACCAAACAUGUAAUCUUUACUCUAGCUCCACCCCCGCUAGGAAGGAGAUAAAGGUUUGCCACGCAUUAGAAAUUACAAACAUGACUUACAGGGGAUUACCAAAACAACUACCGAAAAGAGUUGAAGGAACCUCAAAAACCAUGUUAGUUGCUUUGGUUCUUGUCUGACUUAUUUACUUCACCAUUUUGCUGCGGGGUGACAGAUGUAGUCAUCAAAUCAAAACCCAACUUUUGCUUUGUGAUAUCAUCAAGAACCUCAAUCAUUUCCUUUGAAAGAUGGUUCUUGAAAUCCCCCACUUUGCCUUGCCGAAAAUAUAUGUUGUUUGCACUAGUAGGACCAAACGGUCCAGAGUAUGUGCCCUCUUUAUUCACCUCCAAAUUACUCAGUUUCUCAAAGCUGCAGAGCUCUAUUAGUCUCUCUACAAUGCCUUCACUUUCUUCCUCCAACGAAAAUGGCUGCCCCAAGAACUCUGCUAUUCUCUUUGCAUUAAAGAUUGGAUCUUUCUUCAAAUCCUCAUACUUCAAGAAAAGAACCCUCUCUGGAAAUUCUAAGCUGGCUUUAUAAUAUCCCAUCACAUGAUCCCAAAAUGGACCAAAAGGGAAUAACCUUUAGUAAAUUGGUCAAAUGCUUCUGAUAGAGAACUGAUAGGCGUGUCUUUGGGUCUUAAUUUCUGCAUAAAGUACCAGAAAGAAACCAACACAUCUUUUGCAUCGCGAAACACAGACUAUUUUGCAUUUGGAGUCAUCACCUGUUAUAGACUCUGGCAAAGCAUUGAAGACAAGAUGUGAUUGUAUGAGACAAGUGUUUGGUGUUGGAUUUGUUGGGUGCAUAAAUGCAUAGGCCUCUAGAUGGGGUACUAACUCAUGUGGGUUUGAAGAGAGCAGAGGGUGUGUGCUAUAAUAGUCGUAUUGUGAUCUGUUUGUAAUGGCAAAAAGAAGGGCCUUGAGCCAUGUGGUGCCAGACUUUGGGUAACUGGCUAGUAAGACACUAUUUGGUUUUGGUUCAAAUUGAUGCUGCUCAAGUACUAGCAAACCUUGUAGAACAUUUGUCGAAUACCAAGUACCUUUGUAUUGGUAAAUCUGAUCAUUUAGCCAGCCUCUUUCACUAGGAAGAUCAACGGAUUCUUGGUGAUUUUCAUGGUUUUGUUCUUUGGUGGCAACAUUUGUGUGUGAGGAGGAGUUUUGGGUAGAGAAGAAGUUUGCCAUUUGAGUUAAUGAGCAAAAGAAUAGAAACUCUUGCUACAUUUAUAAGACCACUUAAGUUUGUAUCUAUUAUGUAAAAGUCAUUUUUCUUUUAUUCAUUAUAAUAAAGUUAUUUUACUUUGCUCCUGUCACAACCCGAACCGAGGCCCUGGCCGUGACGGGCAAUCCCGAGCCGUGAUGGCCCGAGCGCCCCUUUUUCAACAGGCAAUCAUAAACAUGUCCAUACAAUAUUAAGGGAAAAUGAGAAAAAAAAAUGGAUUUGUACGGAAACAUGGCCAAUAAUAUCACACUACCGAAAAAUCAAAAGAGUUCAACAACUCAUCAGCAUCAUCUAACAUCUGUCUGCAAAAUCUCUAGUACAUCAAAUCCAGAUAUCACAAUCGAAAACUGGGACAAGGCCCCCAGUAGACCCAAAUCUAAAUAAAUAACAAAUGUCUGAAAAGGUCUGGCCCCACCAACUGCACACUGCUAACUGAUGGUUCUACUGCUUAACAAUACCUUUUGACUGAGCCUCAGACCCUGAGAAGGUAGGGGGUCAAUACAAUUGUACUGGUAUGCAAAGUAAUCCAAAAAUAAAAUACAACUUUUAUGUAACAUAUGUGAGAGCCAUCUUAAAACACUUAAAUGAAAAAUCGUUUGAAAACACAUGGGCAUAGUAUGAUGAUUUAUCAAUAAUAAUGCAGCACUACUGAGCUAGGUGGGACACCCUACAAUUUCAUAUUUUCACCAACUGCCAAACCUCGGUUGUCACUAAGAUUGAAAUAUUAGUGAGGGGAGGACGCACAAGAUCACACAGCAGGGUGCCAUAACCCAAAUCAAUUCAAUAUGUUGUGGUUGGGCUCAAGAUCACAAAGUAGGGCUCCUAACCAUUGGUCCCAAUUUGGGAUGACAUAGUACUAGGUACACAAGAUCAAAUAGCAGGGUACCAAGUUCCCGUGUCGGCAAAUCACGGUUUCCAGAAUAGAGUUAUUUGACUCGUGAUUUCUUCGGGUAACCACCUAACUCACAUCAAUUUAAGCUGUACGCUUGAUUUAAGACAGAACAUGCAUCAUACUCACAACGUUCUUUCCUUCUUUUCAUUCGAGGCAACUCCUCUGCGGGGUAUCAUCAUAUCCCGACUUGCAAGUCAUCAGUACCACAUCAAUUCUCAAAACCUCUUAUGCAAAUCAUAAUAUGAACACACAUAAAACUUCCACACAUCAAACACAUGCAUAAAGAUUCCUAUCACGUAAUAGUCAAGAAACUUCAUCAUUUGUAAAGUAGUACAGUGGGGCUUAUAAAACUCAUGCUCUCAAUAGUUUAAUACGAGUAUCAUGUGGGGUACAAAAACAUUAUCAUGGGGAAAUUUAAGAAUUUACAUUUCAUAUUCAUCACAUCCUUUGAAAUUCAAAUCACAUGUCCACAAAUUCAACAAUUUAGGUAUAUAAGCAAACACCCCAUGAUCUUUCAAUAUCCCUUUCAAAAUCAUAUCACGAAGAAUGUUGUUGGUAUUAAAACGAAACCCCACUUAUAAUAUCAUACAUACUUAUGUGAAUAUUAAAAAUCUUGUUUAAAUUCGUAUCAAAAUCAUGCCCAUGAGAUUUAGGACAACCACACAUACUUUAAAUUAGGAACCUUGAAUGAACAGUUAUUUUUCGGGACUCUAUUCGCAACUUUGAACGGAUGUUCUUGAUGCUCUUAGUUUGGGGAUUCCGAUUCUAGAAUCAAUUUAAAAAACUAAUGGUGAAAUCUUGAGUAGUAUUGAUCUUUGGGUUAAAACCCUAGGAGUUCUUGGUGAAUUUUGAGGAAAAUAUCAAUAAUGUGGUGUUUUGGGAGUAUAAUCCCGUGUUUAAGAUGAACAAGGGGUUGAAAAUACCCAAUAUACCCUUAAUGAUUUGGGUUGAAAAGCUGAAAUUAGCCCAGCGCGAUUGGCAAGGCCCCGCGGGGGAUAACCCGCUGGAUUAGGCAGGGCACCACCUUACCUAUCGCCUUGCCCUUCCCAGGUGAGGCAAUCCGCAGGGCACCGCGGGCUAAUCUAAUACAAGUCAAAUGGCCUCCUUAGCUUUCGGUGAUAUCCUUCAAAGUCUCUAUGUGAAGAAUCAAGCUUUGGUCGUAUGGAGGGCACGGGAUCAUGCUUGGAGGGGUCGUUAUGAGCAUGCCAUUGGACAAACCCGAGAGUGGAAGAUUGCUUGGACCCUUGAAGACUUGAGGACUCUGGGGUUGGACCACACUUUGUUGGUUCACGAUUUUGGAUCCCUUCAUUAAGGGCAUUAUGUUCACUUAGCCUUAAAGGCAUUUUGGUCAAUUCAUAGUGUUUUUCAACACACCAAGGCCACCCCUUGGUCAUUAAGGGUGGCUUAGUCAUUUUGCCAUGUAAUAGGCUAGGCUAUAUAUAGUCUCUUUUAGGUCUUUUCUUACUAGUUUUUGAAUGAUGAAUAUGUAAAAGACUUCUUCUCUCUUUGAGAGUGUAACAUCCUUAGUGUAGGGCUUGGAUAAGCAAUUAGUGUAGGGCUUGGAAAAGCCUUUAUUGAUCUUUGCUUAGAAACAAUGGUUGUAAGGUGGAGUUGAUUCCCUUAGCGGUCACCGUAAGAACUUGGUACUUAUUAACUUGUUUUGUAGAGGUUUUAGAGUUUUGAUACACUCUUUAGUUGCUACCUAAUGGGUUCUCUUUGUGUCAAGUUAGCUAUUUUUUACUCUUUUUAAGUUUAUGUUUGCUUCUCGUAUCGUGUUGUUGUUUUGUUGUUGCAGGUAAAGGCUUGUGAUUGUGGGUUGUUUGCGGACUAUUUUAGUGUUGUAGAUACCGUUUGAUAUCAUAAUCGCCUCGGCUCACUGUUUCGCAACCCCAAACGUGCCCUUAAGCUCGUCUAAAAAUUUCAAAACUCCCCCGAGAUGUACUUUCGACUCGCCCCAUCUCAUAUCAACAAAAAAAUUAGCAAACGAAGGUCGAAAAGGUCAUAAAAUAAAUUCUCAAAGAUUUGGAGCUCAAAAUGAGACUAAGGCUCCAUUUGUUUUUUUAAAGAUUCAGACGUCUGAAUCUGAAUGCACAUCUAAAUGAUUAAGAUGUUGUCUCUAGAUCUGAAAACUGAAUGAUUAAGACUGUUUGUUUUUCAACAUCUGAAUAUGUAAAAAAAUUUAUUUGUAUACAUAAAAAAAUAAAAAAUAAAAUUCAAAUAAAAAAUUAAUUAUCUAUUAAAAAAGUAUGUAAUUUAAUACAAUAAAAUUAUUAGUAUUUGAUUGAGAAAAAACAUUUAUGUUUAUUAGUGAUAGUGGAGAUGACUAAUAAUUGUGGUUGCGGUGACAAUGAUUAAUAUUGUUGGUGAUAAUUGUGAUGGUUGGUAUUGUAGUGACUGUUAUGAUGGUGGCGAUUGAUGGUGGUGGUGGUUAUUGUGAUGUGACGUUGCUUGAUAUUAGUAAUUUAAGGUGUUGAUUGUGUUGACUGAAACAUGAAUGCAUGAUGAUUGACGAUGUGUUGGUGCUAGUUGGAGAUUUUAUUUGUUGUGAUGUGAAGAUGGUUGUUAGUAGAGAUAAAUUGUAGCGAUGAUACUAAUUGAGUAGUGGUAGAGGUGGAAUUACUAGUGACAAUGCUGGUGGCGGUCAAAGAAUGUGUAGAGGUUGUGAUGUAUUAGUGGUGGUGCUAGUUGUGAUAAAUGAGUUGGUUGGUAUAGGGAUUGACCGCUAGUGGUUGCUGAUUGUGUUGUUGUUGAAGGCAGUGGUGGUGGUGAAUAUAAUUAGAAUAAAAGAGGUAGUAAGUGUGGUAGCGGUUGACAAUUGUGGUUGGUAGAGGUAUUUUUUAUCGAUGGUGGUUGGGAUGGUAUUUUUUACAAUAAUCCCACCGAAAAACUGAUGUGACAACUUUAAUUAGUUCUUAAUUUUAAUUUUGAAGAAUAUAAUAUAUUACUCAUAUCUUGAUUCUUUUUAUGUGUGCCCAACCUAAUUUUUCUUUUGAAUUAUAUAACGGAAGAAUACCAAUUUCUUAAUAGAUCAGGCUAUUUAAUGAAGUUUAUUUUCAUAAAAAAAAUUGAUUGAUAUUUUUAUGAAACAUUUCAUAAUAUUGCAUUCAUAUGCCAGAGAGGUACAUCGAAAAAGAGUAAUAAACAAGAUAAAUUCUUCAAAACACAUAAAAUAGAAAUACAUAUAUAAUAAUAUUUUUGUAAGUUAUUUUAAUUCCUUAAAGAUAAAAUCAUUAUGCUAAAGAUAGUUUUAAAAUAAAACCUUUUUGAUUUUGUCAUCGAAUAAGUAUUGUAAAAAUUUAUACAAAUAAUAUUAUUGACAAUUGUGUUAAUAAAAGUCAUAAAAUAUAAGUAAUGUAAUGUAUAAAAUAUUUAUCAAUUGAAUUAAUUAAAUAAUAUAAAAUUUAUCAGAACUGAAUAUUAUAAUGAAAACUUUUUAAAAAAUUAACCGAUUAGUCAAACAAUUAAAAACACAAUGACAAACUCAAUAAAUAGAGUAGUUUAUUAUAUUAUUAUGAUAUACAGAAUGCUAAGGCCCAAGUAACAAGAAAUGUAUGAAAAAAAUAAUUUUAUCAACUACAUAUCACAAUUUUAGAGAGAGAAAAGUAAUUUUAUCAACAAUAUGUCACAAUUUUAGUGGGAGAAAGGUAAUUUUAUUAACUAUAUGUCACAAUUUUAGAUGAGAAAAGUAAUUUACCAACUACAUGUCACAAUUUUAGAGGAUUUUAAAAAAACUAAAAUUACCAUAAUCAUAUCAAUUACAUGUCAUAAUUUUAGAGGAGAAAAAUAAAAUUACCAUAAUCAUAUCAAUUACAUUUCAUAAUUUUAGAGGAGAAAAAUAAUUUACCAACACAUAAAUUUUAGAGGAUUUGAAGAAAAUCAAAACUAUCAUAGUGUCAUUGUGAGGACUAUCAAAUUUUGAUAGCCUCCCUUAUAUAUAAGUAUAAUUUUAGUUUCAUAAAAAUGUCAACCAAUUUUUUUUUAAUUAAAACGGACUUCACUAGGUAGCCUAAUCUAUCAAGAAAUUGGUAUUCUUUCAUUAUAUAAUCCAUAAGAAAAAUCGGGUUGGGCACAUAUAAAAAGAAUCAAGAUAUGAGUAAUAUAUUAUAUUCGCUGAAAUUAAAAUUAAGAACUAAUUAAGGUUGCCAUAUCAUUUUUUCGGUGGGAUUAUUGUAAAAUCCGGCCAUAGUGACUUUUAUGAUGGCCGGAGCAAAGUAAAAUGACUUUUAUGUAAUGACCGAAAGAAAAAUGACUUUUGUGCAAUAGGCUCAAAGUUAAGUGACCAUGGAUGAAAUUUACUCUAAGACUAAGAGGUUCGUUUGGUAGUUAGUCAGGAGUUAAGUUGUUUAUUAUUGAGCAGUUAGUUGCCCUCACACAUGCCGUAGUUGUCCAGCCGAAACUUAGCUGUUCAUUGUUAAUUACUUGCUUAUUUGUUGUUAAUUUCGGUAGUUAGCAGUGUUGAGAUAUAGUAUUAACCAUGGAGUUUGUGUUAUAGUAUUGUAUUUUCAUCCCAUGUAAAGACUAUUUAUUUUAUUAAUAAAAUCUUUAUUUGAAUAAAUCAUUGUGUUAACAUGUGUGUCCUUCACUUAUAUAGUAAACAAUUUUGUGUAUGGAGUAUUUUAACUCAUGCAUGGAAGAUUAAAAUUGUCGGUUCUUAUAAGUAAUAAAUUAAUAUUCACAAUCAAAGAUGAGGUAGGACAAACAUCUUGAUGAUUGUAGCACAGUAUUAAAUAUAAUUUGAUCUUAAUUAUGGGAGUAAUAAUAUUCCAACUUCUUGUGCAAGUACAUCUCGUAUGUAUUGAACGGACCAAUUAGAGAUAUUCCUUUAUGUUCUGAAUAUUAAUAAACGAUUUCUCUAGACCAUUACAUGUACUUAUAUUCUUAAUCUUGAUAUAAUUAUUAUGAUCUAUGUGGUUUGUUUUAUCGUUUUAAUCUAUUAAAAGGUGAGACUCUUUUAUGAGUCAACAUAUUCCUGAUAGGUUGGAUGAUGACAAAUCACUUAGUGAAAUAUCAAUUAGUUGAUAGAACCAUGUCUCGAACUUGAGAUAGAAGACACCCCUUUAUGGUUGCUUAUAAGUUUUCACAUAAAAACCCUGCAGGUGGAUUUUGUAUCUGUCAUGUGAAAUAAGUUAAGCAUUAUAAAUAAAGGAUUAAAUUAAUCAAUGAGUUAAAUUUUUCAGAGAAUUUAAUUUAAUUGAUUGGUGUCGGUAAUUCUAACAUGGGGAGUUAAGUAAGAUGUAAUAGUAGAUUUUAAAAUUAAACCGAGGAGUAUAAUUACAAAAUUUUAGUGGAAUAAUUUGUAAUUUAUUGUGAUAUGGUAAUUCGUUUAUUUGCGAAUUAAUAUCAUAAUUGGAAGCCCCACUUAAUAAAUCUGUGGUCCCUACUAUACUUGAUUAACUAAUCAAUUUUGGAAAAGAGAAAGAACUUACUAGAAAAAAGUAAUAUUACUUACUGGUCUUCUACAAGAAAAAGAAAUCUUCUAUUUUUAAAAAUAAAAAAAAAAUCUUUUGAAAAAUUAAAGAGGCAGAAAACAUUUUGACAAUUGAAAAGCCAUAUACUGUUGCCUCUUGGAUCCCUCGUUAUGUAAAAUAUGAAUAAAUAAUUAAAAAGCCAUAAACUUUGCCUCUUAACUCCCUCUUUAUGUAAAGCAAGAAUAAACAAUUGAAAUGUAAGAAGUUUUUGUUGUCUUAUUUUUUUUGUUGGCUUUCCCCUAAUAUGAAUAUAUAGGGGUUUUGGCUAAGAAGAAAUAUACUAUUUUCCUGGACAUAUUCUCUUUGAAUUCAAAAGUAUUUGCCCACACAAGUUUGAUAACAAAAGUCAGUAGGAUAUAGUAGAAGACUGUAGCCCUGAAGGUAAAAACAAUGAAUAAAUUGUGUGAAAGCUUUAGCAGGUAAGUAGCUUUUUAAUUUCGUUUGAUAAUUUAUGUUGUCUAAAUUAUAUGUAAGUUAUUGAUCCUGUAGAAUUGUUGCUUCCGUUGUGCAUGAUCUAACAAUUGGUAUCAAAGCUCUUCUUAUAUAUGCUAGAUAAUGUAAAAGAAAUUACAUGAUUUGUUGUACAUAUUUCGGAUAAUAAUUGUAUAAAUCAUGUUGUUGGCUGCUUUUCAUGUUUUUGAUAUCAUGUUCUUGCUGGCUAUUGUUCAUAUUUUUUUGAUGAUAUUAUUGAUUCAAAAAAAAUUGAAGUUUCUCAUCAAGAAAGCAUAAAACGAAUUUUGCAUAGUUUAGAGGAAAUUAGUUUUAUAGCUUAAAAGCAAAACGAUGAUGAGUCUCGACCACGACCAACUAUAGUCGUUACUCACUGAAUGGACAGUAGCAGUAACGCCAAGAAGUGCAGGCAUCCUUGUUGUCCCUCGCAACAGCUCGGCCAAUAAUUACCGAUUUGGUCGAUUUUGGAGUUUUUUCAGUUUUUGACGAACUCCGAAUGACUUAAAAUUUGUUACGUUUAUUGAAAAUGAUCCACUGAAUAAUACUCACAGUAUACUGUGUUUCAUGCCGUUUUUGACCAUUCGGGGUUGUUUUGAUGAGGUUUUUUGGUGUUUUUAUAUUUUUGAAAAAAUUAUCUUUUGCAAACCAGUGGUGAUAGGGAUCAUUCUUUAUGAUUUCCAUUGGUUAAUAACAGUAAAUAUUAUGAGUUUACAUGUUGACAUUGGUCAUCUUCCCCAUCAGAUAAACUUGUAUAUUGUAAUACUGUUUUAUAGUUGAGUUUUUGAUAACUUGUAUUAACUUUCCAACUAAGUUGCAUGUUAGCUCAAUGGUACAGAGACUUAUGAAAUGUGAUAUUUAUCUAACUUAAAUCAACAGUUUACUCUCCAAUUGAGUUGGUUCUGUCUUGUUUAAGAGAUGAAAUAUCUGACAUUACAUGUAUAUUUGCUUAAAUGGUUAAGUUUCCCUAACGACUCUAACUAUUUAUGUGGUGGUUAUAUGUGUGAUGUGAUUUUAAGAAUUUUAUUAUUCUGCAACAUGUUUAAUGAUCUUUGUUUAAUUCUAUUAUAUAACAGAUUAACCAUGUUGUCAUUCAAUCCAUUAACCUCUAUCCUGAAUCAAAAUAAACUAGAAGGCCCUAACUGUGUGGACUACUACUGAGAGCUUUAAAUUUGUGCUGUUGAUGAAUGUCCUGUUAAGUCAUAUAAACUAACUGAUAAUGAGAUUAAAGGCUACGAUAAGUGGGUCAAGUCUGAUGAGAUGACAAGAUGCUACAUACUUGCCUCUAUGGCAAAUGUGUUGCAGCAUCAACAUCAGUCCAUGACUGUUGCUUAUGAUAUGCUUGAAUCUCUCAAAGAGAUGUUUGGUGAGCAAAAUUGUGCUGCAAAGCAGACGGCCAUGAAGGCUCUUUUGACCACAAAAAUAGUUGAAGGAAUUUUAGUAAGGAAACAUUCUUAAAAUGAUGAGUUUGUUGAACAAGUUGGAAAUUCUUGGUGCGGUUAUUGAUAAGGAAUCUCAGGUUGAGAUGGUCCUGCGGACUCUGCCAGACAGUUUUCAAUAGUUUUGCUUGAAUUAUAAUAUGAAUAAGAUGGAUUUAUCUCUUGCGAAACUGUUGAAUGAGAUGCAAGCGGCAGAAUCUAUCAUUAAGCAACAAGCUCCUCCUGCGGCGUUCAUGGUUGACAAGCCUUCAGCUUUGACUUCUAAGACGAAAGACGAAAAGGAAAAGAAAAAGAAAAAGAAACCUCGUAAGGUUUCAGGUGCUAAUGGUGGUGUGGCUAAGCCUAAGGGCAAAUGCUAUCAUUGCAAGCAACUGGUCAUUAUAUGAAAUUGUGUCUCGGCUACAUAGCAAAGAUGCAAAAAUAAGGUACAUCUUUUUCAUAUGUCUUUGAAAUGUUUUUAGCGGCUGUUUCUACCCAAUUUUGGGCUAUAGGAAAUAUUUCUAUUUCGUUUAGUAGUUCUAGAUUUUUAAGACUGAAUAAUGUUCUGUAUGUACCUUUUAUAAGAAAGAAUUUGCUUUCAAUUUCAAGAAUAAUGGAUGCUGGUUACAAUGUUUAUUUUGCUAAUAAUUGUGCCAUUAUUAAGUUUAAGAAGCAUUUUAUUUUAUCUGCUCCUAGAAUGCAUAAUUUGUUUGUAUUUUAUGUUUAUGAUAUGCUACAAAAAAUAGAACUAAAUAAUGUUGAUCAAUCACAUAAAAGAAAACGUAUUUCGAAAUUGAGUGAAACAUACUUAUGGCACUUACGUCUAAGUCAUAUUAAUAUAAAUAGGAUCUCAUGUUUGGUUUCUGAUGGACCUUUGAGUUCAUUGAAAGUGGAGGCACUUCCAACUUGUGAAUCUUGUUUAGAAGGUAAACUGACCAAGAGACCAUUUCUUUACAAAGGAAAUAGAGUCGGUAAUAAGUUAGAAUUAAUUCAUACUGAUUUGUGUGGUCCAAUGAAUAUACAAGCAAGAGGCGGUUUUGAGUAUUUUGUGACUUUCACAGAUUAUUACUCGAAAUAUGGAUACAUUUAUUUGUUGCGCCAUAAAUCUGAAUGCUUUAAAAAAUUCAAAGAAUCUAAGAUGGAAAUGGAAAAGAGACAUAACAAACAUAUCCAUAUAUUAAGAUCUGAUCGUGGUGGUGAAUACCUUUCUGCGGAAUUCAUUAAAUACUUCUCAGAAUCCAAAAUUAUAUCUCAAUAUUCUGCUCCGGGAACACCACAAUAAAAUAGUGUGGCAGAAUGCCGAAAUAGAAAUUUUAUGAAAAUGGUUAGAUAAAUGUUAAGUUAUUCAGAUUUGCCCAUUUCUUUUUGGGGUUAUGCAUUAGAAACUGCAAAUUAUAUUCUGAACUUGGUUUCUUCAAAAUCAGUACCUUUAACCCCAUCUGAAUUGUAGAGUGGGCGCAAGCCUAGUCUACGCCAUAUUCGGGUUUGGGGUUGUCCAGCAUAUGUGCUAAAAGGAAAAACUGAUUAGUUAGAAUCUAGGACAGAAGUGUGCGUUUUAUUGGAUAUCCAAAAGGAACAAAAGGCGGUUUAUUUUAUUGUCCUAAGGAAUAGAAGGUAAUUGUUUCGACAAAUGCCAGAUUUCUUGAAUAGGAUUAUUUAAUGAACCACAUUUAUAGAAGUAAAAUUAUUUUACGAGAAUUGAGCAAUAGAAUAACAAAUAAUAAAACAAAAGAAGGAAUUCCAAAAUCCAUUAUUGACAUACUACUGCAUCCACGUAGUGGGAGAAAUGUCAAUAGGCAAGAGGUUGUACAAGAGCAAACACUUGACAUUACACUACCUCAAAGUAGUGGAAGUAACGUCGAGCAGCCUGCAAUUAUGGAGGAAAACGUUCAGGGUAAUGUCGAGGAACCUUUCAUAAUGCAGGAAGACAUUCAAGGUGUUCAAAAUUUAGUUCCCGUAGUAGCAGAUUCUGUAGUGACUAGUUGUCGUAGUGGGAUAAUUAUUAGAAAACCUAUAUGGUUUGCGCUUGGGAGAAUCGUAUGAUAGAAUCCCUGAGGAUCCUAAUACCGAACCUAUUAAUUACACCGAAGCACUACAUGAUAAAGAUGCUAAAAUGUGAAUUGCUGUUAUAAAAUCUAAAAUGAAGUCUAUAUAUUCCAAUCAAGUCUGGGAACUUGUAGAACCACCUAAGGAGUCAAACCCAUUGGUUGUAGAUGGAUCUAUAAGAAAAAGAGAGGUGUGGAUGGGAAAGUACAAACUUUUAAGGCUAGGCUUGUUGCGAAAGGGUUUACUCAAAAAGAAGGAAUUGAUUAUGAGGAAAAAUUUUUGCUGGUAACUAUGCUUAAAUCCAUUAGGAUUAUCUUAUCCAUUGCGGCUCAUUAUGAUUAUGAGAUUUGACAAAUGGAUGUCAAGACGACUUUCCUAAAUGGAAGUCUUGACGAGUGCAUUUAUAUGGCACAACCAGAAGGUUUCAUGAAAAAUGAUAAUGAACAUAAGUUUUGUAAACUUAAAAAAUUCAUUUAUGAUUUGAAACAAGUAUCUAGAGCAUAGAAUACUUAUUUUGAUAAUUCAAUUAAGACUUUUGGUUUUAAUCAAUGUGAAAAUGAAUCGUGCGUUUAUAAAAAAUGGGAUGGAGACAGGAACAUUUUUUAUUUUGUAUGUAGAUGACAUUUUUCUCAUAGGAAAUAAUGUGAGCAUGUUGAAUUCUAUUAAGGAGUGGUUGUCCACGCGUUUUGAUAUGAAGGACUUGGGAGCAGCGGCUCAUAUCCUUUGGAUCAAGCUUAUGCGAGAUCGCAGACAAAGGAUAUUAGACUUAUCUCAAGCACUUUAUAUUGAUACUAUUCUUGCAAGGUUUAGCAUGCAAAAUUCAAAAAGGGGAUUUCUUCCUUUUAGGCAUGGAAUUACUCUAUCAAAAGAUCAGUCGCCCAAAACGACCGAUGAGAUAGAGAGAAUGUGGUCCCUUAUGCUUCUUCUGUAGGGAGCCUUAUGUAUGCUAUGUUGUGCACUAGAUCAGAUAUCUACUUUGUUGUUGGCAUGGUUAGCAGAUUUCAGUCUAAUACUGGGCAAGUACAUUGGACUGUGGUUAAGUAUAUAAUCAGGUUCCUAAAAAGGACUAGGGACUACAUGCUUGUUUUUCACUCCGGGAAUCUUGUACCUAUUGGGUAUACUGAUUCAAAUUUUUAGUUGGAUAGAGAUUCUAGAAAAUCUACCUCAGGAUAUGUGUUUACUUUAGGAGGUGGAGCUAUUAUUUGGAGGAGUAUCAAGCAAUCAUGUGUUGCUGAUUCCACUAUGGAAGCUGAUAUGUAGCUGCCUCUGAGGUGGAAAAAGAGGUUGUUUGGCUCGGUAACUUUCUGAAAGAGCUUGGAGUUGUUCCUUCGGUUCAAACAUCACUACCACUUUAUUGUGACAAUAGUGGUGUAGUUGUAAACUCGAAAGAACCACGAAGCCAUAAAAGAAGUAAGCAUAUUGAAAGAAAAUAUCACUUGAUUCGGGAUAUAACUCAAAGGGGUGAUGUGAGAAUUUUGAAGAUUGAGUCGAAGAACAAUUUGGCAGACCCAUUUACAAAGGGCUUAACCCAGAAGGUUUUUGAUAAGCAUGUGAAAGAAAUGAAUGUUAAAAUUGUUCAUUCAUGGUUAUGAGUCUAAGUGGGAGAUUGUUGGGAUAUACUAUUAACCAUGUAGUUUGUGUUAUAUUAUUAUAUUUUUUCAUCCCAUGUAAAGACUAUUUAUUAUAUUAAUAAAAUCUUUAUUUGAAUAAAUCAUUGUGUUAACAUGUGUGUUCUUCACUUAUAUAGUAGACAAUUUUGUGCAUGGAGUAUUUUAACUCAUGCACGGAAGAUUAAAAUUCUCGGUUCUUAUAAGUAAUAAAUUAAUGUUCACAAUCAAAGAUGAGGUAGGACAAACAUCUUGAUGAUUGUACCACAAGAUUAAAUAUAAUUUGAUCUUAAUUAUGGGAGUAGUAAUAUUCCAACUUCUUGUGCAAGUACAUCUCGUAUGUAUUGAAUGGACCAAUUAGACGUAUUCUUUUAUGUUCUGAAUAUUAAUAAAUGAUUUCUCUAGACCAUUACAUGCACUUAUAUUCUUAAUCUUGAUAUAAUUAUUAUGAUCUAUAUGGUUUGUUUUAUCGUUUUAAUCUAUUAAAAGGUGAGACUCUUUUAUGAGUCAACAUAUUCCUAAUAGGUUGGAUGAUGACAAAUCACUUAGUGAAAUAUUAAUUAGUUGAUAGAACCAUGUCUCAAACUUGCGAUAGAAGACACCCCUUUAUUGUCACGACCCGAACCGGGGCCCUGGCCGUGACGAGUAUUCCAAACCAUGAGGCCCGAAAUACCCCUAUCUGUCUAGUAAUCAUGCACACAAUUCAUAUGAUAAAAGAAAUACGGAAGAUACACAAUAUAACGAAAACAUGAUCAAGAAUCAUGCGAAAGUAAUAAUGGAGAAUAAUGUCCCACAAUCUCUACACAACAUCUCUAUAACAUCUGCGAAAUCUCUACUACAUGACUAAAACAAAUGUCUAUCUGAAAACUGAGACAAGGCCCCCAGUAGACCCAAAACUAAUAAAUGAUAAAUUAAACUGCAGACAUCAGGCCUUCCAAAAUAUAAAAGGCUCACCACUUGAUUCUGCGAUCUGUCGGAAGGAAUCUACUAGUUUUCUGGACCCCUAGACUGUGCCUCCAAACCUGGGAGUGGAGGGGGUCAAUACAAAAGUACUUGUACAAAGAGAAAUCAAAACAGGAAUAUAAUAUUUUUACACAAUAUAGGUGAGAGCCAUUAUGAAGCAGUUUCAUAUCAAAUUAUUUGAAAACACAUGGGCAUAAUGUAAUAGUUUUCAAUACCAAUGUAAUGCGAUUGAGCUAGGUGGAAUACCCUACAAUUGUAAUUCCAUGUCUAUGUGGAAUCCGCCUCUGGUGCUUGGCAGCCAAGCCUCCAAUCCAAGUAGCCGCCAGGAUUUGGAGCCGGUAUACCCCCCAUGUGAGUACACCACAGGGAAUCCCCCCAUGUGAGAUGUUCCAAUUAUUUUAUUAUCCUCCCAUGUAGGAUACAAUAUCAUAUGACCUGCAUCGGCAACUACGGUUCCCAGCGAUGAGCCCUUUCACUCAAACGUCUUCUUCGGGCAUCCACCUUUCUCAUGAAAAUCAAUGCAUUUAAACUUUAUUCAAAUCAAUCACAUGUCAUACUCUGUAGGGUAUCGUCAUACCCGACUUGCAAGUCAUCAGUAUUAUAUCAUUCUCUUCAUUCAAUCAUCAUAUGCAACAUAUUUCAACAUGAACAAAACAACCCUCUCUUUGAAAGUGAAAAACCAUAUCUAAAUCAUGACAUUUUAAAAACAUUUCAUGACAUGCAUUUCAAGAUGAUUUCAAACGAUUCAUAUCAUGUGAAAACUUAAAACAAUAUCAUAUCAAGAGAGGGGUUCCGUGUAAAUCAUGCUCUCAAUUUAUCAUCAUUAUGAAACACAUGCAUAUCCAUAUAUAAUAUAUCAAAUCACAUUGGAAUUAGGCCUAAANNNNNNNNNNNNNNNNNNNNNNNNNNNNNNNNNNNNNNNNNNNNNNNNNNNNNNNNNNNNNNNNNNNNNNNNNNNNNNNNNNNNNNNNNNNNNNNNNNNNNNNNNNNNNNGUACCUCUAUAUGCGAAGAUUAUAGGUGCUUCUUGAAGCCUACGUUCUGGGGAUUCCAAAUAUGCAAUUAUUUUCUAAAACCCCCGGUUGAAUCUUGAGUUGCUUGGGUUUUUAUUUGAAACCCUAGGAGAAUCCUUGAGCACUUUUGAUGAAUGGAGGUGUAUUUUGGGGUCUUUGAAACAGAAUUUCAUGUUUAAGGCUAAGUAAGGGUGGAAAAAGACCAUUUUGCCCCAAAAACGGAGUGUUUAAGUCACUUGAAACCUUUACAUAGGCGCCGCCUAUGCUAUCGCCUAUGCUUUCCAGUGACCCUGUGCGAUUGGUUAGGCGACGCAUAUUACUUUGAAAGGCCAUAACUUCUUGCUCUGGUGCCGGAUUUUAGCGAAAUUGGUAUCGUUGAAAAGGUAACUCGGAAACCUAUCAUUUUACACAUAGUAGGCUUUCUAAUUCGACAUAUACAAAGAGUCAUGGUCGAUAGAAGUUGACACAAAUUAUACUAUCCACUUAAGCUUAAUUGGUUGAAGUAUUUUUUUACUCGUCCUUGAGUCAAAUGACCCCUAAGGUCAAAAUUCAAGCUUGAAUGGAUUCACAUUCUACACAAAUAAUUAACAUGUCGUAUUGGCAUAGGAUUUAUGGCUUCGAAAUUUAUCAACACAUCGGAAUCAUGGUCUAUAUUAUAGCCCAAAAUGUAGGGCGUUACAUUAUCCCUCCCUUAGGAUCAUUCGUCCCCAAGUGAUGAUGCGGGACACAGAUAGACACGAUUUCAAGCAUAAUAAAGGACUAGGAAAGAUAAGAUAGGAAUAGUACCUUCUGUCUCCUUCUCCAUCGAAGUAAAUAAAUUGGGAUAUCUAAUUCUCAUGUCAUCUUCUGAUUCUCAAGUUGCUUCUUCGACUUUCUGAUUCCUCUAUCGUACCUUUACUGAGGCUAUCUCUUUGUUCUUCAUCUUUUGAACUUGGCGAUCUAAAAUUUCAACGGGCUCUUCUUAGUAAGACAAGGAAUCUGUCACUUUGACACCCUCUACUGGCAAUACCAAAGAAUGAUCUCCAAUGCAUUUCUUCAACAUGGAUAAAUGGAAUACCGGAUGAACGGAACCCAAACUUGCAGGCAAUUUUAGCUCAUAAGCAACUGCACCAAUCUUUCUCAGAAUCUAAUAUGGCCCUAUAUAGCGAGGGCUCAAUUUACCCCUUUUUCCAAACCGCAUAACUCCUUUCAUAGGACAAACCUUGAGAAACACCCAAUCACCAAUUUCAAACUCUAGUUCUCUUCUUCGAACAUUGGCAUAGGACUUCUGACGACUCUGAGAAGUCUUGAGUCAUUCUCUAAUGAUCUUUACUUUCUCCAUCCCUGAUGAACAAGAUUAAGCCCAAUAAAUGGGCCUCACCCACUUCAUACCAUCCUAUCAGAAACCUACAUCUCCUCCCAUACAAAGCCUCAAAAGAAGCCAUCUUGAUGCUGGCAUGGUAACUAUUAUUGUAAGCAAAUUCAACCAGUGGCAGGUGAUUUACCCAACUACUUUUAAAAUCAAUGACGCAUGCCCUCAACAUAUCCUGGAGGGUCUGAAUGGUACGCUCAGCUAGCCCAUCUGUCUGAGGGUGGAAAACUGUGCUCAAAUUCACUUGUGUACCUAAACCCUUCUGAAAAGAUCUCCAGAACUGAGAUAAAAACUGCAUACCCCUGUCGGAUAUAAUGGACACUGGUGCCCCAUGCAACCGAACUAUCUCCUCAAUAUAAAUCUUAGCAUAACCCUCUCCCGAAUAAUUAGUCCUCACAGGCAAAAAGUGGGCUGACUUUGUCAAUCGAUCUACAAUCACCCAUAAAGAAUCAUACUGGUUUCGAUAUCUCGAAAGUUCUGUAAUAAAGUCCAUGUUUAUUAUCUCCCACUUCCAUAAAGGCAGGGCAAUCUCUUGGGAAGUACCACCUGGCCUCAUGUGUUCUACCUUCACUUGUUGACAGUUCAAACACUUGGACACAAAAUCAGCUACAUCACGUUUCAUGUUAUUCCACCAAUACAAGGUUUUCAGAUCAUGGCACAUCUUAGUAGAGCUUGGGUGAACGACAUACCUCGAAGUGUGAGCUUCAUCAAGGAUCCUUUUCUGCAGUCCAUCAAUAUUUGGAAUGCACAACCUACCCUGAUAUCUCAGAAUACCAUCACCACCAAUUUCAAAUAACAUUACCUUCUGUUGACCCACAUCUUUCUUGAUUUGCAUCAAGAUGGAAUCUUCAACUUACUUCUCUUUCACUUCAGCACAAAGGGAUGACUUAGCUAACUCAUGAACAAUCAUCCCUCCAUCUUCGAAAUCUAAGAGUCGCACUCCCAGAUUCGCGAGGCGGUGAAUAUCCUUCACCAUCUCUUCCUUCUCUUUUUCAACAUGAGAAAGGCUGCCCAUAGACAACCUGCUGAGGGCGUCGGCUACAAUAUUUUCCUUGCUCGGAUGGUAAUGUAGACUCAUAUCAUAGUCUUUCAAAAGCUCCAUCCAACGUCUCUGCCUGAGGUUCAAUUCUUUCUGCGAGAAAAUAUACUGCAAACUCUUAUGGUCAGUAUAAAUAUCAAUAUGCACUCCAUAGAAAUAGUGCCUCCAGAUUUAAGUGCAAACACACGGCUGCUAACUCCAAGUCAUGAGUGGGGUAAUUGCGCUCAUGCACCUUUAACUGCCUAGAUGCAUAAGCUAUAACCUUACCACGCUGCAUCAAUACACAACCAAGUCCCACAUGGAACGUAUCACAAUAAACCACAAAACCAUCUACACCCUCGAGAAGGGUUAAAACAGGAGCAGUAGUCAGCUUGUCCUUCAACUUCUCAAAACUAUUUUCACACAAGUCAGACCACACAAACUUCAUCUUUUUCUGAGUCAGUUUAGUAAGCAGAGUAUCUAUGGAAGAAAAACUCUCUACGAACCUUCUUUAAUACCCCGCCAAACCCAAGAAGCUCCAAAUAUCGGUUGGAGUCGUGGGUCUGGGCCAUUUUAUCACUGCUUUAACUUUCUGGGGAUCCACUCUUAUCCCGCCACUGGACACAAUAUGCCCCAAGAAGGCAAUAGCAUUUAACCAGAAUUCACACUUAGAAAAUUUGGCAUACAGCUGAUGAUCCUUAAGGGUCUGAAGAAUAAUUCGGAGAUAAUUGGCAUGGUCCUCCUCACUUUUACAAUAGAUCAGAAUAUCAUCAAUGAACACUAUGAUGAAUAAGUCUAGAAACUGAUGGAAUACUCUAUUCAUAAGAUCCAUGAAGGCUGCAGGGGCGUUAGUCAACCCGAAGGACAUGACUAAGAACUCAUAGUGACCAUAUCGGGUUCGAAAGGUUGUCUUGAGAAUGUCUGACUCCCUAACUUUCAACUAAUGAUAACCUGAACGAAGAUUUAUUUUCGAAAAACACUUAGCACCCUGAAGCUGGUCAAAAAGAUCAUCAAUCCUAGGAAGAAGAUACUUGUUUUUAAUCGUGACCUUAUUCAGUUAACGAUAGCCUAUGCACAUACGAAGGGAACCGUCUUUCUUUCGCACGAAAAGUACAGGUGUACCCCAAGGGGACACACUGGGGCGAAUAAAACCCUCAUCUAGAAGGUCUGCUAGCUGCUCUUUUAACUCUUUCAGUUCUGCGGGAGCCAUUCUAUAUGGCAAAAUAGAAAUAGGUCGAGUGUCUGGCAGUACAUCAAUGCCAAAAUCUAUUUCUCUAUCAGGUGGUAUCCCUGGGAGAUCUUUGGGAAAGACUUCUGAAAACUCAUUCACUACAAGGACUGACUGAAAAGAAAGAUUUUCAACUCUUGAAUCUUUUACUCAGAUUAGAUGGUAAAUACAGCCUUUGGAGAUAAGCUUUCGGGCUCUAAGAUAAGAGAUAAAGUGACCUCUAGGUUCCACAGAACUCCCUACCCAUACAAUUGGUGUCUCAUUCGGAAAAUAAAAAGUGAUAUUUCGGGUUCUACAAUCAAGUGUGGCAUAACACAAAUGGAGCCAGUCCAUCCCAAGAAUGGCAUCAAAAUCUACCAUAUCAAGUUCCAUAAGGUCGGCCACAAUAUCCCUACUAAGAAUAGACACAACAUAAUUUCUAUAAACCAAACUAGCAACAAUAGAAUCACCUACAGGAGUGGAAACAGUGAAGGGUUCUUCAAUGACUUCAGGCUCAAACCCAAAACCAACAGCCACAUAGGGGGUCACAUAAAAUAAAGUAGACCCAGGAUCAAGCAAUACAUAAACAUCACGAGAAAAAAAUUGUAACAUACUGGUGACAACAUCUGGUGAAGCCUCCGCCUCCUGGCGGUUAGUCAAAGAAUAUAACCGGUUGCGACCGCUCCCGAUAGCUGAAGGGGAACCCUUAGGAGGAAGAGCCGUGGGGGCAGCUUGGGGCCUAGUCCCCCCUGUAUUUUCUCCAGCAGAAGGGCAAUCUCUUUGAAAAUGUACCACCUUGCCACAAGUAUAACAAUUUUUCCCCUCAAAAAAAACUUCCCUGGGUGAUUCCUCCCACAAAUCUCACACCGUGGAUAAGCACGACGUUGUUGGGCCACACUCCCCUGCGACUGAGUAUCUGGGGCUCUCGAUCCAUGAUGAGUCUAGAAACUCUAAGAUCGUCUGUUUGCUGGUGGUCAAGGCAGCAGACUGUGCAUUACUCCAUGACUUCUUAUUUUUCCAUCUAUUUCCUCAGUUGCCGCUCUGUGGAUGGCUGUGAUUCUGAUCCGCAGUUCUGGCUCUCUUUGCUUGCCUGUCUUUCUCUCUUAUUUCUGAAAUUUUCUUUUUGUUCUCUUCUAUUUGUUGCAUAUGAACGAUCAGCCGAGAAAAGUCUAACUCCUUAUUCAACAUAGCCCCCUGGCACUCAAGUACCAGGUUAUCAGCAUGGCUGGAUGCAAAUUUCCUCAUCUGGGCUCUCAUAUUACUAGUCAACUCUGGUGCAUAGUGGGCUAGUUUAUCAAACUUCAAAGUGUACUCCUGGACACUCAUACUGCCCUACUUAAGAUUCAUAAACUCUUCCGCCUUGGCCUCCCUCAACUCUAGAGGAAAGAAUCGAUCAAGGAACAAAUUCGCCCCAAACUGUGGGCUCAGAACUUUCACCUUUUGCAUCCUCCCAGUCGGCAUACCACUGAUUCACAACAUCCUUGAGCUGAUAAGGUGCCAAUUCCACCCCUUCAACCUCAUCCACAUGCAUUACCUUAAAGAUCUUUUCCAUCUCAUCCAUGAACUCCUGUAGAUCUUCCUUCACCUUUGUGCUAGUGAACCUAGGUGGGUUCAUCUUCAUGAAAUUCCCAACCCUAGUAGUCUCAGACGUAACAGAUGCAGACCCAACAUCUUUCGAUCAUUGAGCCUGGUUAGCUACCAACUGUGUCAUCAUAUGAAUAAACCGUCUGAAUUCUGCAUUUAAAAUAUCUCCCUGAGCAGUUGGGGGACGGUUGACAUCAGUCCGCGGAGCCCGAGGUAAACUGGUCGGGACUGGAGGGACUCCCGGAGUAGUGACAAGUUCUUUACGAGUCUGCAUCCCAUGGGUGGGACGGAACUCAUAUGCCUGAGCAUUCUGAUCGAUGAUACGACAUGGAGGCAUAACUGUGUUUCUGAAAUACAAGAGAUCAUUGUUUAGGGGACAGCUCAGACUCUAAAGCUCGAACUAAAUCACAAAGAAGGGAAAUAUUUUCUAAACGCCUAGCAGCCUCCUGCUUAUAUGUGUGGCGUGCUACACACCCAUAAAUAGGACUCUACCCGAUGUGAUUUCGCAGAUACCCUGGGACCAUGAACUGUGCUUUGAUAACAAGUUUGUCACGACCCAAACCGGGGCCCUGGCCAUGACGAGUAUUCCGAACCAUGAGGCCUGAAACACCCUUAUCUGUCUGGUAAUCAUGCACACAAUUCAUAUGAUAAAAGAAAUGCAGAAGAUACACAAUAUAACGGAAACAUGGUCAAGAAUCAUGCGAAAGUAAUAAUAGGGAAUAAUGUCCCACAAUCUCAACACAACAUCUCUAUAACGUCUGCGAAAUCUCUACUACAUGACUAAAACAAAUGUCUAUCUGAAAACUGAGACAAGGCCCCCAGUAGACCCAAAACUAAUAAAUGAUAAAUUAAACUGCAGACAUCAGGCCUUCUAAAAUAUAAAAGGCUCACCACUUGAUUUCGUGAUCUGUCGGAAAGAAUCUACUGGUUGUCUGGACCCUAGACUGUGCCUCCGAACCUGAGAGGGGAGGGGGUCAAUACAAAAGUACUGGUACGCAGAGAAAUCAAAACAGAAAUAUAAUAUUUUUACACAAUAUAGGUGAGAGUCAUUAUGAAGCAGUUUCAUAUCAAAUUAUUUGAAAACACAUGGGCAUAAUGUAAUAGUUUUCAAUACCAAUGUAAAGCGAUUGAGCUAGGUGGAAUACCCUACAAUUGUAAUUCCAUAGCUAUGUGGAAUCCACCCCUGGUGCUCGGAGGCCAAGCCUCCAAUCCAAGUAGCCGCCAGGAUUUGGAGCCGGUAUACCCCCCAUGUGAGUACACCGCAGGGAAUCCCUCCAUGUGAGAUGUUCCAAUUAUUUUAUUAUCCUCUCAUGUAGGAUACAAUAUCAUAUGACCCGCAUCGGCAACUACGGUUUCCAGCGAUGAGCCCUUUCACUCAAACGCCUUCUUCGGGAAUCCACCUUUCUCAUGAAAAUCAAUGCAUUCAAACUUUGUUCAAAUCAAUCACAUGUCAUACUCUGUAGGGUAUCGUCAUACCCGACUUGCAAGUCAUCAGUAUCAUAUCAUUCUCUUCAUUCAAUCAUCAUUUGAAACAUGUUUCAAAAUGAAUAAAACAACCCUCUCUUUGAAAGUCAAAAACCAUAUCCAAAUCAUGACAUUUUAAAGACAUUUCAUGACAUGCAUUUCAAGAUGAUUUCAAACGAUUCAUAUCAUGUGAAAACUUAAAACAAUAUCAUAUCAAGAGAGGGGUUCCGUGUAAAUCAUGCUCUCAAUUUAUCAUCAUUAUGAAACACAUGCAUAUCCAUAUAUAAUAUAUCAAAUCACAUUGGAAUUAGGCCUAAAGACCAAAUCAAUAUCAUAAAACAUUUAAAACAUAAUCAUAUUCGUAAUUUCAAAACCCCCAUUUUGAAAACAUAAAUUUUUAAAGCCCAUGAGAUUUUUAAGAUAACCCCACGUACCUCUAUAUGCGAAGAUUAUAGGUGCUUCUUGAAGCCUACGUUCUGGGGAUUCCAAAUAUGCAAUUAUUUUCUAAAACCCCCAGUUGAAUCUUGAGUUGCUUGGGUUUUUAUUUUGAAACCCUAAGGAGAAUCCUUGAGCAUUUUUGAUGAAUGGAGGUGUAUUUUGAGGUCUUUGGAACUGAAUUUCGUGUUUAGGGCUAAGUAAGGGUGGAAAAGAACCAUUUUGCCCCAAAAACGGAGUGUUUAAGUCAUUUGAAACCUUUACUUAGGCACCGCCUGUGCCAUCGCCUAUGUGGCGCCGCCUAUGCUAUCGCCUAUGCUUUCCAGUGGCCAUGUACGAUUGGUUAGGCGACACAUAUUACUUUGAAAGGCCAUAACUUCUUACUCGGGUGCCAGAUUUUAGCAAAAUUGGUAUCGUUGGAAAGCUAACUCGGAAACCUAUCAUUUUACACAUAGUAGGCUUUCUAAUUCGACAUAUACAAAGAGUCAUGGUCGAUAGAAGUUGACACAAAUUAUACUAUCCACUUAAGCUUAAUUGGUCGAAGUAGUUUUCAACUCGUCCUUGAGUCAAAUGACCCCUAAGGUCAAAAUUCAAGCUUGAAUGGAUUCACAUGCUACACAAAUAAUUAACAUGCCGUAUUGGCAUAGGAUUUAUGGCUUCGGAAUUUAUCAACACAUCGAAAUCAUGGUCUAUAUUAUAGCCCGAAAUGCGGGGCGUUACAUUUAUGGUUGCUUAUAAGUUUUCACAUGAAAACCCUGUAGCUGGAUUUUGUAUCCGUCAUGUGAAAUAAGUUAAGCAUUAUAAAUAAAGGAUUAAAUUAAUCAAUGAGUUAAAUUUUUCAGAGAAUUUAAUUUAAUUGAUUGGUGUCGGUAAUUCUAACAUGGGGAGUUAAGUAAGAUGUAAUGGUAGAUUUUGAAAUUAAACCGUGGAGUGCAAUUACAAAAUUUUAGUGGAAUAAUUUGUAAUUUAUUGUGAUAUGGUAAUUCAUUCAUUUGCAAAUUAAUAUCAUAAUUGGAAGCCCCACUUAAUAAAUCUGUGGUCCCUGCUAUACUUGAUUAACUAAUCAAUUUUGAAAAAGAGAAAGAACUUACUAGAAAAAGUAAUAUUACUUACUGGUCUUCUAUAAGGAAAAAAAAUCUUCUGUUUUAAAAAAAAAAUAAAAAAUUGGAAAAUUAAAGAGGCAAAAAACGUUUUGACAAUUGAAAAUCCAUAUACUGUUGCCUCUUAGCUCCCUCUUUAUGUAAAGUAUGAAUAAACAAUUAAAAAGCCAUAAACUUUGCCUCUUGACUCCCUGUUUAUGUAAAGCAAGAAUAAACAAUUGAAAUGAAAGAAACUUUUGUUGUCUUGUUUUUCUUAUUGGCUUUCCCCUAAUAAGAAUAUAUAGGAGUUUUGGCUAAGAAGAAAUAUACAGUUUUUCUGGACAUAUUCUUUUUUAAUCCAAAAGUACUUGUCCAUACAAGUUUGAUAACAAAGUCAGUCAGGAUAUUGUAGAAGACUGUAGUCCUAGAGGUAAAAACAAUGAACAAAUUGUGUGAAAGCUUUAACAGGUAAAUAAUUUUUUCAAUUUCGUUUGAUAAUUUGUAUUGUCUAGAUUAUAUGUAAGUUAUUGAUCCUGUAGAAUUAUUACUUCCGUUGUGCAUAAUCUAACAAGCAGUAGAUUUAGUUAGCAAGCCAAGCCCAAAUUUAGGUUUAUAUAACUGAAAUGAAAAUUCGAAAAAAAGCUUCUACAACUUUUUCUUCUCUCCUUUUCCUUUCUGCAUGUCUGGAUCAAGGUGCUCUAAAUUACUGAAGUUUACGUAUAUGUAUUAAAUUCUCACUAAAUAAUAUAAUGAUUGAUAACAUUUAAUUCCUGUUUCACUCAACUAUGAAAAAUUAUAUAGUAAAAUCAAUCAACUUAAAAUUACUCAAUUUUGGAAUAUCCUCAAAUAAAUUCACUCAACCAAAUUUGUCAUUAAAAAGAAAAUCUGACAUGAUAAAUUAAAUUAAAUAAAAAACCCGACAGUAAUUUAAUGAUUUUAUUGAUAUAAAACAAAAGUUAAUUAUUUUCCUAAAUAGUUCUUAAAAGUUAAAUGACCAAAUCUAUACGACGUUGACUCAAGAAAGUCAAUAAAAAGAAGAGUCAAAAAUUAGAGGCCGGUACAAAGUCGCACGUAGGGUAACGAGGGGGAUUCACGUCUAUACGUGUAGUGUGGUGCUUAAACCUACCCACCCUAUUUGUUCCAUGAUUUAUGGGUCUACUGGAUUGGUCAAACUUAUUUAUCCUCAAAAUUGCUUAUUUUUUAAAAAAAGUGUUUAGUUUUUUAAAAAGGAGGUGUCUAAUCCAAGUUUCAUACACAAAUUAAUCCGAGUUUGCACCAUGUAUAGCCCGCUCUAUAUUAAUCCAAAAUUUUCACACGCGGCUAGUUAAGAAAGAAAUAACUCCAUCUGCUCCAUAUGUGCUUUACUUGCAAAAUUCGAUAAAUUUAAUCUUUAAAAUUAUAGUAUUUAUAUUUAUACUAAUAAAGAUAAGUAUUAGUUUAAAUCUGACAUUAAUUAAAAUAUCAUAAUAUAUUUUCACGUCAAAAAUAUUGAAUUCAUUAUUACGCCAAAUGGUGACACGUGUCCCCAACUACGCAUACGAUUACAAUUUGCUUUUGUUGUUGUUAGGGAAUCUGAAGUUUUGAUAAUAGAUAUAUGAAUGAAAAAUGUUGUGCAAGCUAGUCCAUACAAGUGAAGAAGAGAAGUUGAAGUUACUGGUUCUCACAUGAAAUUGCAUGAUGCAAGGCUGGCAGGCGUUAGGACAAAAGUGGAUAAGCAAGGACACUCAAAUAUCUUACCAAUGCUUAUCACAUACAACAAAAAAGAUUGAGGAAGAGAUAAGUACAAACACCUAGAGGUUGAGUUGAUCAAGGAAUUCUGUCAAACUAGGAGAUGAAGUAGAAGAGUCCUAUUCAGUCAAAGUGAUAGACGACUACAACAGGAGUGAAACUAUUUGGUAGAGUCCUAUUGAAGAUAGAAGAAUACAUCAUCCAAAUGACUCUAUCAGGAGUUGGCUUAAAUAGAAGAACCAACAUUCAAGAGUUUCACUCAAGCACUGACAAAGAAAAUCAUCAAUCAACAAAUCAGUUCACCACCAAACUUGAAGAAGAACCUGGUCCUUUACUUAGCAAGUCGUAGACGUUGUAGUAGGUUGGUUCUUUGAAUCAUAAUGUGUUUUAUUUCUAGUCUCAGUGAGUUAUAAACUGAGUUAGGAGUUGUGUGUUCAAGUUGGGGAAUUCAAAGACUUGGGAACACUUAUCUUGGGAAGAUUUGUGUUAGUAUAGAAAUGGAAGUUAGAAGUUUUAAUUAACAAAAUCACAAGAAGUGUUGUAAUUUGUUGAUUGUGAGUAUUUAGUGAAGUUGGGGUUAAAUCCGGUACAGGUCGUGUUUUUACCUCUUUCUUGAGCCGGGUGUUUUCCACGUAAAAAUACUUGUUUUCAUUUUUACUUAUGCGAACCACGUUAGUUGACUUGUUUCACUAAUAGGCAACUAUUAGAGUAAAACACUAAAAUCAGUAGGUACAUACUCCAACCGUUGUCUUUUUUUUUUUCCUGAAAAUAAAAAGUUGAUGGAAUACUGUUCCAUUUUAAAAUAUCAAUCCUGGAUUUUUGUACAAAUAUCCAGCCUUAUAACUAAGGGUGGCAGCGGACCGGAGUUAAUCCGGUUUCGGUCCAUUUUCGGUCAUGGUUCGGUCCGAUAACGCAACGGUACCGGUUUGUACCGGUACCAAACGACCUGGAAUACGGUACCAGUGAGGAGGGGCAUUUUUUUCUGGUAGUUCCGAUUCUGGUUUACCGAUUCCGGUGCUGAUUGGCCGGAUUCGGUCCGGCGCCGACCGGUGCAUGUUAAUUUAAAAAAAAAAAGAAAAAUAGUUUUGGCCGUUGUUAACUGUUGUAAAAUAGUUGUUGGAGGGGGCAACGGCUAUUUUGUGCCUCCCCCUACCAAUUAGUCCACUACACCAUUAAUUUUCUACUAUAAAUAUCCUUUUAAAUCAAUUUUUUUUUCUCACAAAUUUCUCAAUUUCUCAUACUCUCUAAAUCUUAAAUCUUAAUAUUCUCAUACUCAAUAUUUAUAAUUUUUGUAUUAAUUGGAGUUGUGAAUUUUUUUAAAGAUACUACAAGCUUCAAUUAUCAUAUUUCAAUUACGACAUUUGGUAUACGUCUGCUUUUACGCAGACGUUCGGUAUAUUCGCUCCAACUUUAAUCUCUAUAUGUUUUAUUUUUAAUAUCUAUAUUUGUUUACUUACAGUCUUACGUUUAUUUUUUGAUUUAUAAUAUUUAUAUUGCUUGUUUUAACAUUUUAAUUAUAUUUAAAUUUAAUUAUGGAUGCAAAUAAAAGUAGUGGUAAGAGACCAAUCUUUGGUAAGGUUUUUCGUAGAAAUAAAAAAAAUAAUGUUACUACUAGUUCAUUAUCGCCUAGAUUUAAUGAAAAUUCUUUAUCACAACCUAAUGGUUUUGAUGUUGGUGCCGGUAUGGAAUUAGAUCAUGAGACACUAAGUAGGCGUUAUAAUAAUUUUGAGGGAGACUUACCGAAAGAAGAUGAUAUAGAAGUACAAGAGUUAGGUGAAACCCCUACCCCUACUAGUCCGGUUACGGAAAUACCAAAAGACGAUGAUGUACUUCCCCUUUACCGAAAUUUAGUAGGGCCAAAGGUACUGAACGUCCUAAACGGUCUUUAGUUUGGCAAUUUAUGAGUCAAGAUAAGGAAAAAAAUAUUGCUACUUGCAAUAAAUGUAAGAGUUAUGAAACAUUUGACUGGGGAAAAAAAUGGUGGGACAGGGUUGCUUACUACGCAUUUGAGGAAAUGUAAUACAAAAUUUAUUCGUCUAGAAAAUGAGGCUAAGGCAAAAAAAGGUGGUACACCAUUGACGGGAAAAUCUGUGGGAGGUAAUAUGGUUCAAACGCGUUUAGAUAGGUUUAACCCAACUAGCUUAAGUUCUACAUUGACAUAUAAUGAAGAUGUAGAUAGAGAAGAACUAGAGAAAAUGGUUACUGUUAUGGGAUUGUCAUUCAGUUUUCCUUCGCAUCCCGGUUUUAUUCAUUAUAUUCAACGAGUAUAUAAUCUUUCUUUCAAAGGUUUUUCACGAAAUACAAUUAAAAAUGAUAUUUUUAAAUUUCAAGGUGAACAUUGUCAUUUUCUUCAUUGCUUAUUUAGUAAAUUUGAUAGUAGAGUAUCUAUUACUUCUGAUAUGAAUCGUAGUAUUAUCGGUAAUGAUUAUUUUACUGUCACGGUUCAUUGGAUUGAUCACCAUUGGAACAUGCAAAAAAGAAUUAUUGUUUAUAAAUAUGUUGACGAAACUAAAACCGGUAAAUAUAUAUCUUUUACAAUAGCAGAAUGCUUAANNNNNNNNNNNNNNNNNNNNNNNNNNNNNNNNNNNNNNNNNNNNNNNNNNNNNNNNNNNNNNNNNNNNNNNNNNNNNNNNNNNNNNNNNNNNNNNNNNNNNNNNNNNNNNNNNNNNNNNNNNNNNNNNNNNNNNNNNNNNNNNNNNNNNNNNNNNNNNNNNNNNNNNNNNNNNNNNNNNNNNNNNNNNNNNNNNNNNNNNNNNNNNNNNNNNNNNNNNNNNNNNNNNNNNNNNNNNNNNNNNNNNNNNNNNNNNNNNNNNNNNNNNNNNNNNNNNNNNNNNNNNNNNNNNNNNNNNNNNNNNNNNNNNNNNNNNNNNNNNNNNNNNNNNNNNNNNNNNNNNNNNNNNNNNNNNNNNNNNNNNNNNNNNNNNNNNNNNNNNNNNNNNNNNNNNNNNNNNNNNNNNNNNNNNNNNNNNNNNNNNNNNNNNNNNNNNNNNNNNNNNNNNNNNNNNNNNNNNNNNNNNNNNNNNNNNNNNNNNNNNNNNNNNNNNNNNNNNNNNNNUAUGGUUGACAAAUUUAAAAAAUAUUUUUUUUCGAUUCCACAAAUUUAUUUGACAGCUACUUUAUUCAACCCAUUUUACAAAGAACAUGGUGUAAUUAUGAUGGUUCAAAAAAUUUACACCAAUUUAGAAAUUGAACCUCAUGAAAGGACAUCGGUUGAAACGUGUUGUGCUAGCAUAGUACCUAAAACCAAGAGUUUAUAUAACAUGUAUCAAGUUAUGGAACAUAAUUUUGCGUCAAUCGAACCUCCUACUUUUAGACAUAGAUAUGAUGAUUUAGAUGAUGAGAUGGGUGAAGAACUUGGUCUUCAAUGUUGUAGCAGUAAUGAUUUUGAUUCAUAUAUUUCUCAGGAUCGGGAAUGUAUUAGAGAUGCAAAUGG